This 58223-nucleotide long non-coding RNA is filed under the name Ananas comosus (pineapple). RNAcentral's name for it is "long non-coding RNA (ACOM_LNC041465)". Lineage: Eukaryota; Viridiplantae; Streptophyta; Magnoliopsida; Poales; Bromeliaceae. The record is from RNAcentral.
GGACGGAUUUUUAAAAACCCGAACCCGAACCCGACUCCAAACUCGAGACCUGAACCCGAACCCGAACAAGAUGGAUUUUAAAAAUCCAUAUCCAAACCCGAACCCGACAAAAAAAUCCAAUACCCGAACCCGAACCCGAACCCGAACCCGAACCCGAAAUUUGAACCUGAAACAAUUAUUUCUUUUUUCAAUAUUUCAAAAUAUAUUACAUUAAAUCUAAAUUUUUAAAAUACAAAUUCAAAUAUAACAUCAAAUUUUUAUAUAUAUAUAUAUAUUAUAUAUAAUACAAAAUAAAUUCGGGUUCGGGUCGGGUUCGGGUUCGGGUUCGGGUUCGGGUCGGGUACAAUCAAAAUCCAUAUCCGAAUCCAUAUCCGUCGGGUUUCUAUUUUUGAUAUUCAUAUUCGAAUCCAUAUCCAUAUCCAUGGAAAAUAUCCGUUUCAUUCGAAUUAGGAUUCGGAUAAAAUUUUGGGUAUCCAUACCCAUUGACAUCCCUAGUUAUAAAUUCCAAAAGUUAAAAAUAUAAUGAUAAAAAAUAAAAGGUUGCAAACCAAAAUAAAAAGUGGGGCUUUGGUUGGGGACCAAUGGUUGCAAUUAACCCAAACUUUAAAUUAAAAAAAAAGUUUAAAGUAUAAAGAAUUUAUCAUUUAUAACUAAUUUUGGUAGAGAUCCCUCAACUAUUUUUCUCCAUUGUUGAUUCUUAUAGUUAUAAAUUACUUUUAUUAAUUAAGUUAAUGAUUCUAUCAACUGUAUCAUGAUUUUGUUAAAAUUGUGUUCUUUUAGCUAUCGCAAGUUCCGUUAAAACUAACUGAGCAUCUUAAUUUAGGCGCCUAAUUAACUGGUUUCAAUUUGGUCCUCGAACUUAUAAAAUUUUUUUAAAAAAAUUAAAAUUUAGAAGUAUUUUAUUUUAGUCAUUAAAUGUAAGGAAAAUUUAUUACGCGCAUUUCAUUCAUCUGUAAGUUUAUUUACUAGAAAUAAAUCAGCCCUCUACUCAUCUUACACUUUCACACUCUGUGUGACGGUCCUAAAUUUCAAAAUUCAUAAAAAUUUUAGGGAAAACUUCAAAAACCCCCCUUGUGGUUUCGUGCAUUCUCACUUUGCUACCCUGUGGUUUAAAACGUAUCAAUUUGCCCCCCUGUGGUUUCGUUUUUAUCUUUUUGUUAUCAAUUUUAUUAUUAUUUUUUUUUAAAAUCAGUGACAAAGUUAAAAUUAAAGGAUACUAAAGUGACUAUUUGAUAAAUAUAGAUGGUUAUCUGAAGUUUUUUGUAUAUAAUUUAACGAAAUAUUAACGAAAAAGCUUCCGAAAAGAUAAAAAUGAAACCACAGGGGGGUAAAUUGAUACGUUUUAAACCACAGGGUAGCAAAGUGAGAAUGCAUGAAACCACAGGGGGGUUUUUGAAGUUUUCCCAAAAUUUUAUUUCUAGUUCACUUUUGUUUGGUACCAUAAUGAGUCAGUGAAAAUUCAAGUCACUCAAAAGAAUUUUGUGGAAUUUCUCACAUUACAAACAUCUCCUAUAUUUCCAAUUUUCAUCAUUUGAGGUUAGAGUUGGUAAGAAUUUAUUUAAUAUCAAAUUAUUUUUCAUCAAGAAUCUCCUACUAGCUAUAUAACUCAGUAGAAAAUGAAAAAUGUAAUCAAAUUGAAAUGAUUUGGCUCUUGUUAUUAAACAACAAAAGGAAUAGAAUUCAGUUGAACUUUAAUAAAAUCAAAAAAAAAAAAAACUUCAAAACUAUGUAUCAUGGACACUUUUAUAAGCCUCGCGAAUCUGUUUCAAAAUCGUGUCCGAUGCAGACACGUCAUGGAUACGCGUUCGAUGUGAAUAUAUAGCGCAUCCCAUUAAAAAAUAAUUAUUUUAUUUUAUUUUUUUCUGCGUACAUAAUAAUAUAAGAUGAUAAAUAUUUUGACUUUUUGAUGAAUGUAUAUAAAAUAUAAAGAUGUCCGUGGACCGGAUCGGGUCUGGGUAAUUAAUAUACUGUAUCCAUACCCUAAAAAGAAAUGGUUACAAAAAAAUAUAUAUACCCUACACAUUUAACUUCAGGUCGGGUCCGGAUCUGGGUACUAAAGUUACUAAUAUAUCCAUCAGGUCUAUUUGAGCGGGUCUGGAUAGUGACUAUCCGUAUACUACCCGUUCAAGACCGGAUAUGGAUCGGUUCUAGAUCGGGUACGGAUAUCCGUAUAAAUAUAUAUUUUUUUAUAAACUUUAUUAAAUAGUCAAUAGACAAACUGUAAAGCCCACUAUAAAAAACCUCGCAUUCUAAUAAGUUGUACCGUCCAAUAAAAUUCAUUCAAAAAAAAUAUUGUCGCUGAUGAUGAUGAUGACACUGAUGAUGAUGAUGACAAUAAAAUAUUGUUGGCGAAAAUGAAAUGAAAAAAAAAAGAGUAGAAAACAAAUAGUAAAAAAAUUAGAAAAAAAUAAUGAGUAAAAGAGACGACUAGGGUUUCAUUAGGAUGAAAAUACGUAGUAACUCAUCAUCUAUAAGUUCGGGUCCGGAUUUGAAAACUAUUCCGGACCCUAUACAUUUAAAAGUUAAGUUCGGGUCGGGUCCAAAUCGGGUAUGGGUAUAAAAUAUUCGGAUCCAUACCUGAAACUUUAAUGGGUAAUUUUUUUUAUCCGUAUACUAUUCAUUUUUUAUCGGGUCCGGUUCGGGUUUGGGUCGGAUAUGGGAUAUCGGAUAUUUUGGACACCUUUAAUAAAAUAUUGUGGCUAAUAUAAAUAAAUUAUGUAUAGUGGAGAAUUUUUUUAAAAUAUAUGAACUAUUAAUGAAAAUUUUUUUAACUUUUAUUCGUAUGAGAAAUAUAACAUACUUUAGCAAAAUUAAUAUUUUAUAUCAUGUAUAUAUAAAUAUUAUAAUAUUAAUAAUAUUAUAUUUUAUUAGCGAUGAUAAUGUCGUUUCGGUGUCUUAAUUUUUUAAAAGUUGUCGAAUCACCGUGUUCGAAUCAUAUCAUGUCCCGUGUUCUUUGUCCAUGUUCGAAUUUAUUCAUAUCGUGUCCUGUAUUUUUUGUCCAUGUUCGAAUUAUAUGUAUUCUGUUGCUGAUGAGUAGAAUAAUCAUUUCGUGCGGAGAAUGUUUUACGCAUCAAAGAUUAGGCUCGGUUGAACGUCAACCGACGCUGCAGACAGCCAGCCGUCUUAGGUUUUGUCAAGGUGGGGUUGGUGGGUCCGGCAGAGGGAGGAAGGAAGCCUGCCGGCUCGGUCCAGGUUGGUUCGGGCCUGCUUCCCAACUUCUUCGGUUUAAUUAUUUUUCGUCCCUUUCUGCAUCAACGUGGUUGCGUUAUUUGAUUGGAGACAGUGAACGAUGGAGGGGAUCGAAGAGAAAGUGCCGAGAAAAUGUGAUUUAUGGAUUAGGUAAAACUCUUUUGUCUCUAGCUAUAAAGGCCUAGUUUGGUUGAAAAAAAUAAACUGUUAUUAUUAUUAUUAUAGCUAUAAUUUUUGGGAUUUUGAGACAAGGAUAUAUUUGGUAUUGAAACUAGUAUUCGUGCUGAUACCCAUUAUAUAACCCAAAAUUUAAAAUUAAACAAAAUAAUAUAAAAAAAAAAUAUUGGAGGAGAAAGAAGAUAACUAAAUUAAUAUGCAAUUAAUUACAUUCUUGGUAAUACCCAUGCAGCCACGUCUGCUAUGACUUUUUUUUUUAAUUAACUCAUGCUUAACUAUAUAUAGCCAUGAAAUCAUAACAGAUGAUAAAUCUAAUUUUACUUUGAAUAAUUAUAUAUCAUAAUUAUAUUCAAAUAAAAGAUUUAAACUUAUCUCUAGUUAUAUUUUAAUUAAGUUUGGAUUAUUAUUUUCAACAUUUGAUUUUUCAGAAAAGUGUAAAAAAAAUUUAAAAGAAAAAAACUCUUUCAUGAAUAUAUUUUUUUUAAAUUUUCCACCGGUAUGGUUUGGCCGAGAAAAUAAAUUAUUAUUAUAGCUAUAAUUUAUGAGAUGAGGGUCUGUUUGGUUUCUCGAAAAAUUGUGAAUUUUUUUUUAAGAAUAAAUUUUUUUUUUCAAUUUUUCGACUGUUUGGUAGAAGAAAAUUAAGUAUUUUUGAAAAAAAAAUCGUAUUCAAGAAAAAUUAACAUUUUCGUUUUUUUGACUUUUUACCGAACACACUAAUUUUUCAUAAAAUAUAUAAAAAAAAUAGUAAAUGCUUGUUUUUCUUAGAACCAAAUGGAAGGAAAAAUAAUUUUUCAUGAAUAGUUAGAUAGAAUGUAGUAUCCAUAUAUAUAUAUAUAUAUAUAUAUAUAUAUGUAUGUAUGUAAUAUAUAUAUAUGUAUGUAUGAUAUUAUGUAUAUAUGUUAUGUAUGUAUGUAGUUAUAAUUAUGUUAUGUAUGUAUGUAGUAUAUUAUAUAUAUAUAUAUGUAUAUAUAUAUUAAUAAUAUUAUGUAAUGUAUGUAUAAUAUAUAUAUAUAUAUAUAUUAUAUAUAUAUAAUAUAUAUAUAAUAUAUAUAUAUGUAUGUAUGUCUAUGUACUUGUAUGUAUAUAUAUAUAUAUAUAUAUAUAUAUAUAUAUAUAUAGAUGACAUGUGCCUAUGCAUGCAGUUCAUGCCUAUCCAUUUAUGUAAUUGAGGGUUGCACCAACACCUCAUUAAUUAACUUUCUCUCUCGUUUCGGCCGAAGCAACGACGAGCUCGGGGAGUUACCGCGAGCCGAUUUCGACACCAACGAUGCAGCGCGGAGCCGUUCGAGGGUACGGUUGCAGUCGUAGCGUCGCAGGGAGCUUAGGCGAGGGCGUGUUUUCGUCGUUCUCGACGCCGCGUCGAUGUCCGAUUAGCCUUUGAGAUGAGUGUUCCGUUGCAUUGCUUCAAGUAUUGUCAUUUUGAACUUGGUGCUGAUUUGCAGAAUUUCCAGCGUCGAUCAUCGGUAUUUCAGUUCGUACUCGGCGUAGGAGCGUCGGAUUUCGACGAGACUUGGUUCGUUGGAUUCGGGACUUCGAGAGGAAUCCAUGAAGCCCUUACUUGCUGGAUUUAGUAAAGGUUUGCUAGGUCGGAAUUUCACUCCUCUCUGUUGCUGUUUUUGAGGCAGAAUUAAUGCUUAUUGUCGGAUUCUCCGUGUAGAGUUUGGCGGGAGCUUGACUUCGGGCCUUGGGAGGUUUUCGGACGUUUUGGCAGGUUGUUCCGCAGCCGAGGGGAGUUCCGUGCUGCCAGGGAUUAGCGAGCGAGGUGGGUUAAUCAUCGGCUUAUACUUCUAAGUGCGCAAUAGUCAACAUGUAUAAUUUCAGAUUUUGUAUAGUUUACUUUAGCUCGAAUUCAUGGAUUUUGUUAUAGAUAGCAAAUCUGAAUUUGGAGCAUGUGGUAUUAAAUUGAGUAGUUUAUACAUGUUAGACUUGGAAUUUGAAUUAGGAGAAAACCUGCGAUUUGGACCUGUCACAUGUUUAAACUGCCUGAUUUAGCUCUAGGAGCCGUUAUAAAAUUGUACUGUCGCAGUAUCUUCGAGACGAGUACUUCAGCUAGUUUAGAAUAUAUUUACGCUCGUGCUGGUGUGCCGAGUGGAUUUUUACAGGGUCGUUCAGAUUGUUCCGGACUGUUGGGUGCCGUCAGGGUUGACGGUGGACCCGUAUCGCCUUUUUGGCAUCAGAUUGUGCUGAGUGCACUUUACCUGUUGGUUAUUAGACCAGUUUGAGUUGGUUACUUGACUUUGGCUUUUCAGAGCCUGAUUGAGCUCGACAGAGAUACUCUACAUACUCGGUUGGGUAGCGCCCACGAGUGCCACUCUGGAGUCAGGCUUUGUGCUUUCGCGUUGGUGUCGCUCAUGCCAGUUGGACUUUCUCUCCACGGACCAGUUAGUGUGGAUAGAGCCUGAUAGUCGUAACGGGGUAGGGACGGGUGUAUUCACAGUCCCGGGGACGGGUAUGCUUACAGUCCCGAUUGGAUUGGGUCAGAUUUGACAUUUACUACAAUUGGUUAGUGUUGAGCAUGAUAGUGUAGUGAUCGAUAGCGGUAGAGUUUACUUCCUGCUUUUCUGACUACUCUUGCUCCCUUCUGUAGACUUAAUGGGUGGACCGAUGUGGUUUUGGGUGGUACCCACUGAGAACUACUUGUUUUUACAGUAGUUCUCACGCCCAGUUGUUACCUCUAUUUUGCAGAGCCGCAGGUUCCGGCUGCUGCGCCUUCCGCGGAUCAGGAUCGAGGCAAGGGCGUCGCGAGUUAGAGCCCUACCCGUCCUACUGAGUUAGAGGUGCCCCUACUGCAGGUAGAUGUUUUGUUUCGAGUUUCUGUAUAUAGUAGACUUAACUCGCCAGUGCGAGUAGCCCUGUAUUUUGGAUUUGGACUAUGUAUAUGAAACUCAGUUUGUUUAGCUUCUGUUUUCUCUAGCAGCUCUCUACUACUGUUCGUAGUAGUGUUUGAUUUACAGGUACAGCUGUCGCUUCGUAUACAGGAAAAAUUUCUUUGUAUACGGCGGAUUUGUCGGCGUGCCCGGGAAACGAGACAUCCGGGGCGUGACAUAGAAAUAGUAGGAAUAAAAGUAAUUAUAAUUUUAAGAUAAUAAUAUUUUAUCCAAUUAAAUAACAUCAAAAUAUUAAUUGAAUAAUAAUUUAAUAAAUAAAUUGAUUAAUUAAUCAUGAAUACAGUUAGAUAACCAUAAAUAUUAUCAUACAUUUAUUGAUCAUUAAUUUAUUAACCAUGAGUACUAUUAGUUAAAAUUAACUAACCAUAAAUAAUUUCAUAAACUAAGAAAUUAAAAUAUUAGCUUAAUAAAUUAAUAGAUUAAUAAAAUAAUUUAAUAAAUAAAUAAAUUAAUUAAUUAAGGUCAAAAUAUUAAUUGGUACUAAUAAAUAAUACAUUUAAGAAGUAGUAUUUUAUUAUUAACUAGUAUAGUUAUAAGGGGAGGAAUUGUUAUUCCAACUCAUAAGGUGGAACAAUAAUUCCAUCUUAUUAAUUCUUCGGAGCUUUAAAGUCGAAAUCUAAUUUAUCAGAAUUAAUAUUUUCGGAGCAAUUUUUGUGUUACAGCAGAGUGGAAAAAAAAUGUCUAAAACAUCAUUAAAUUCAAUGAAUCUGCUUUUAGCAUUAUUAAUUCUUGCUAUGGAAAUAUCAAUUUCCUGUUGAGCGAAAUUAUACUAAAAAUCUGAUUAAUUAUCUAAUUGAUUUUAUGGUAAAGAUAAAAUCAAAUUUACAGAUAAAUGCUAAAAUUCAAAUAAAUAAUUUGAUUGAUUUGGAAGCAUGCGUAGCAUAGCCUCCCGUCAUUUGUGCGGGAUUAACCGAAAACAUCGUUCCAAGGUAUGACUGGAAUUUUUUCUCCUACGAGUAUAAACGCAAAAGAGAUUGAUAGAGAAACUUUCAAUAUCUGAUAAUAAAGAGAUCAAACAAAAUAAAAUUAAAAUAAAAAUAAAUAAAAAAUUCUUUUUUCUCCUCUUUUGUUUUUUCUUCUUCUAUUUCUUUCUACAAUGUCCAUGUUAUAUGAACAGUAGAGGAGGCAGUAUAAAUGGGGUGUAUAUGGAACAUUUGAGGCGCCCAACGUUCCACUCCAUUAACUCCAUUUAAUGCCAUACAUUCCAACUUAUUAAUUAAAAUAAUAAAUAAGAAUAAUAAUAAAAAUACUUAUAAAUGAGAAUAAAAAUAUUAAUGAAUUAAAAAUAAAAUAAUAGUUAUUGAAAAAUUUUGAAUUUACAUUUCCUAGGUAAAAGAAUAGUAUUCUUUUGCAAGGAUUUGGAUUUAGAUUUGGGAAAACUUCAAAAUAUCACUCAUGUGGUUUUGCGCUUUUUUAUUUUAGUAUUGUGUAGCUUAAAUGUACGACUUUAGGAUCAUGUAGUUUUGUUUUUCUCUUUCCAUUAUUUCUUAUGUUAAUUAUUUCGUUAAAUGAAUGACAAAGUUAAAACUAUAUGGUACUCAAGUAAAAAUUCUAUAAACCAUAUGGUACUAAAAUGAAUAUUCGAUAAACCAUAAAUAGAGUAUUUGUAGCUUUUUGUAUAUGAUUUAAGAAAGAAUUAAUGAAGGUGCUGACAGAAAGAGAAAAAUAUAACCAUGAGAUACUACAGUGACACACUUUAAAUCAUAUGGUACUAAAAUAAGAAAAUCCAAAACCACAUAGGUGGUAUUUGAAGUUUACUCUUUAGAUAUUUUGCUUUACAAAAUUAUUCUUAGAGUAUUUGAUUCAAAGAUCAAAAUUGUUCAGAAACAUUUUAAAAUAUUUUAACAUUUCAAAAGUUAAAUUUUAUAAAAUUUCAGUACAUUCUACUCACUCGUCAUUACUUGUCAAAUUGAACUAUUUUAAUGAUUGAUUUGAUAGAAUUACUAGUUUGAUGGUAAAAUGUGACUGAAAUAAGUUGAAAAUUUAUUAGAAAAUACUUUUCAAAGAUCCGAUAAAAAAUGAUGAUUUGAUUCUGGAGAAUUAUUAGCUACAUUUGUUUUGGCCUAUUCAAUUUAACACUAUUUCAUUUAUCUCUUUGUUCGAUACAUAUGUAAAAGAGUACCAAAAAUUUGUAAUUUUUUAUAUCAAGUAAAUUUAUAUAUUCUAAAUUAUUUUCCAAAGCAUUGAUCGUUGAUUCAAAUUAAAAAUAUUACUGCAUUAAACCAAACGCACUAAUGCAGCAUCAGUAGUAAUCUCACGCUGAAAUUCAAGAUAUCUGGAUAUGUCAAGAUACUUUGUAAUAUUAUAUAACUUGAACGAAACGGGCCCUAAAAGAAAAAUGAGCCUUACUCAAUUUAUAAUAUUUAGAAUAUCUACAUUAAAACUAUAAAUGUUGAAUACAGCAACCGAUGGAUUUUUCUCUAUUCUUGGUUUUUGAAGCUAUUUUAUACCCAAGUUAUAGUUAUAGGUUUUCUGAAAUACAUAUAAUUUUUUAAUAUUAAUCAUAAAAUAUUUUAUACUUUUUUUUAAAAAAAAAAGAUAGUAAACUAUUCGUUUUGUUUAUUUUUUUAAAAAAAUCAGUUAGAAAUGUAAAAUAAUAAAAUUUCGAACUUUGGAACUCAGAUAUUAAUCAUCAAGUAGAUUAAUGGCAUAAAAUGAAUAUUAUUCAUCUACAGUGAGUACUAUAGCUGGUGUGUUUCUUCCCUUUUUAACUACUAGGCAGUGCACGUAUUAGUAAUAUUUAAUAUUACAAACUUUAAUAUUAGUUAGUAAUAUAUGUAUUAGAUUAGAAAGAAGGUAUUAUAAUUUUUAUCAAAAAAUAAAAUUUUAUUGCAGCAAUUUGAAUUGGCCAUUAAAUUUAUUUUCAAAAAUAAAAUUAUGUUCAAAUUGUGAAAUUAUGUUCAAUUUAGUUAAUUAAUAAGAAAAAAUGAAAAGGUUUAGAUAGGGAAUGAGGUUUAUACGAGGAAUGUAUUAGGGAAUGAAUUUAAUCAUUGGGCAUUAAUAUCUGUUUUUGGAAGGCCUGGGAAUUAGAAUCGGGAUAUGAUUUCUAUUAUCUUGUCCAAUAAUGGCUUGAAUUUUACGUCUUUCUAUUUACAUGAAAAUUAAAUCACAGAAUACAUAAUUAAUUCCUUAUGAAGACUCUAAUAGAAAUAUCAUCUUCUUAAUUAAAUAAAUGGCAUGUUUUAAUUUGGAUUCGCUAGUUAUUUAUUGCCGCACGAGGAGUGAUCAUCAUCCUCUAAUAAUGGAAAUUAAAUAGUAAUGCUUCCUCGCCCCUUUUUUUUGGCAAAUUAUAUAAUUUUACCAAACGUUUCUUAUGUAGUAAUUUUUUAAUAACUUUUCAAAGCCAAUUUGGAUAAACAUUGUAAAUUUUGAAUUAAACUUCAAAUUUUCUCACCUCUCAUAUAAUUUAACAAAAUUGCGCUUAUAUAUAUUAUUUAUUUUUUGGAAUCUUUUAAGCCAAUUUAGAUGUACAAUCUAAAUUUUGAAAAAGUUAUUCAAAUUUUAACAUAAAUCUAAACUUAUAAUGUACAUUUAAUAAUGUUUUCGCAAAUAAUCAUUUAAAUAGUUUUCCCUCACUUGUAUCGGAAGUUUUUUUUCGAAAUUAAUAUUUUAGGCAUUAAUAAAUCUGUUUAUAGCGUUUUACAAAUUAUCUUGAUGGAUAUUUAGGCAUCGUUUGGGAUUGCGGAAAGAUUGCAUUACGUGCGGUACCAUGUUUGUUUCCGUACGUAAUAUUGCAUUUCGCAUAUUGUGGUUAGUCGGUUACGAUAAAUUUUCUGCAGUCCCAUAGGAAAACGCAGAAGCAUAUUCUUAUAUGCUUUUUCUCAACUCCAUUCUAUCUAAUAGCGUUAGAUCCACCUCAAUACCAAACUAAGUGCAGUGUCCCUGUUGUUUGGUUGCCUGUGAGAUUUCAACAUCUAAGGUUUGUCGACAUAUCUAGAGAGUGUCAGGACAAGUCGGAGUUGUUUUGGCGCGAAAUAGACGCAAAACGGACUCAACGCGAGGCGAGAGUGAAGUUCUGACACUGAAAUCCGCAAAGUGCAGGAUUUCAGUGUUGAGUAUCGGUACCAGAGAGAGGUACCGGUACCCAAGUGGAAUUACAGAACAGGAUGUUCUCGGGUUUCCGUGAGGUGAUGUUGAGUAUCGAUACUGACCAGUAAAGUACCGGUAUCGAGCCCGGGUACCGGUAUUGCAUCGGGCUGGUACCGGUACCCAGUGUGCGAGGCUACGGGCUGAGGGGCCGACUACCGGUAUUGGAGUUGGGUACCGAUACCCUAGCUGUAUUUUUGAGUAGGUAAGGGGUAGUUUGGUCUUUUGAUUAGUCGUUCAACCCAAUGUUCCUCCCAACCUUUAUAUUCACAGAGAGAGUUGUAGAGUAGGGGUUUAUUUCUCAUUUCUCUCUCUCUAGCUUGUGGAUACCGUAUGAGGAGGAGGUCGCGGCUCGAGCUCGGGUGGAUUUCGACGUUGCUCCUGAGGGCCGUUCGAGCACGUGGGCAUCACGGUUGCGUCGUUGGAGGCUGGGCGGGUGCGUUGAUUCCCUCCUUUCGACUUCUCGCCACGGUUGGACGAGCGUUCGAGGUGGGUUGAUGUUUACCGAAAUCGUUGGAUUUUCUCCUAAGUCUUAGCAUCAUCAACAUGCUUCAUUGGUUUUGUUUCUUUUGCUAGUACUCAAAUUCAUGGAAUUUUUAUGUUAGUGCAUAAAAUCUGAAUUUGGAGCUAAGCUAGUGAUUGUAUACAUGUUGGACUUAGAAAUUGACUUAGGAGAAAACCAUUAAACCCUACACUGUCAUUUUCUGAAAAAUUACCAGAUUUAGAUUUAAGAGUUGUAGUUCUUUUGUAUUGCCGCUGUUAGUAUGCGGUGGAUACCCAGAUUAGUGUAGGUUGAGGUUAUGCUUUAUGCUGGGAUAUCGAGUUCAUUUUAUAGCAGUGUGUAGACUGUUUUGUACUGUCGGGUGUCGUCGCGGUUGACGGUGGGUCCAGAUUUCUGUAUCUUGCAUUAGAUUGUGCCAAGGGCAAGUGAGCUUUGGUUGAUAGACCAGUUAGGCUCUUUUGUAUUGACUACAGCCUGUGAGAGCCUGUUUGAGCUCGGCAGAGAUACGCUUGCAUACUCGGUUGGGUCGUGCCCAGGAGUGUCGCUCCGGAGUGAGGCUUUUACUUGCGUUGAUGUCGCAGCCAUCCUGUUUUGGACCGUUUACUUAGACCGGCCAUCCCCGAGGGUGGUGUACGGUAUAGUUUGCCUACAGGCAGGGUGGGUCCAUUUGGGCAGCCCUAGUGAGAUUGAGUUAGAGUGAUGCAUAUUUUAAUUAUCUACAGAUAGCCUGUGUGGGUUAGUGAUAGUAUAGUUGCAUGUAGGUGUAGAGUUUUUCCAACUUUCCUUACUAUCUUUGCGCAUAUUUUCUGUAGACUUAGUGGGUGGGCCGUUGAGGACGGUGGCGGUACCCACUAAAGACUACUUCUUUUGCAGUAGUUCUCACACCCAGUUGCUGACCUUUUGCAGAGCCUUCGUCCGUGGCUGCUGCUGCCGCCGAUUCAGAUCGUGGGAAGGGAGUCGCGAGCUAGAUCCCUACCAGCUUUGUUGCCGUGCUAGAGGAGUACCUUCCACAGGUAGUUUUGGGGACUUUCUUGUACAUAUGGUUAUGUUGUCGGGUACUUGCUGGAGCGAGUUGUGUUGUGGACAUUUUGUAUGUACAGGAACCCCUCGAGAUUUUAUAUAUGUGUUUAUUUUCAGUUUAGCACCUCUAUACUACUGGUUGUAGUUAUGUUGUGAUUACAGGUACAACUAUCGCUUCGUAUACACGGAAAAUUCCUAUGUAUACGGGGAUCUGUUGGCGUGCCCGGAGAAACGAGGUAAUCCGGGGCAUGACACUAGCCUUAAUAUCAAAUUAAAUAUGUAUGAAAUUUUAUUUGUAUGACAUUUUGCUUAUCCUAUUAUUAAAUAUGCUCAUACAUAUUAAUUACGUAAAAAAUAUUUGAAUUUUCUAUUAACUUUUGAAGUGUCCCUGGUGUUCUGCAGCCGUGAGAUUUCAGCAUCUGGGGCUUGUUGACACAUCUGAAAAGUGUCGGGACAAGUUCGAGUCGUUUCGGCGCGAAAUGGACGCAAAACGGACUCAACGCGACGCGAGAGCAAAGUUUUGACAUUGAAAUAUGCAAAGUGCAGAUUUUAGUGCUGAAUACGGGUACCACGCAGGGGCGUACCGGUACCCUAGUGUAUUCCGAGAACAGACUGCUCUCGAGUUGCGAUUAUUGAUGCUGGGUACCGAUACAGCAUCGGGCUGGUACCGGUACUCUAGGGUAGGUGAGGGGCCUUUUGGUCAAUUGCUCCAUCGUGGACUUCACCCUUAUCCCCAUCGUGUAUAUAUGUUUAGAGAGGCUGAGAGGGAGAUUUUAUUUCCUGUUUCCUCUCUCUCUCUAGUUUUUGGUUGUGGUGGUUGUGGUGUUCGUGGCUCGAGCUCGGAUCGACUUGACGGUUACGCCGGGGAGUCGUUCGAGCGUGUGGNCGUGCGUCGGGAUAGAGCCGUUGGACGCCGUGCGAGCACGUAGUUCCUCUCCUGUCGACUUCUCGUCGGAGUUGGAUUAGCUUUUGAGGUGGGUUGGAGUUAAGUUACCGAAAUUUUUGAAUUUCCUCCUAAGCCUAGUUUGUUGUCGGCAUGUAUUUUUGGAUUCGUAUAUCAUGUUUAGUAGCUCGAUUCGUCGAUUUGCAUUGUUCUUAAAUGAAAUCUGAAUUAGAGCUUUAGUUUAUUAUACAUGUUGGACUUGGAAUUGACUUAGGAGAAAACUAUAAGUUCUACACUGUCAUUUUCUGAAAACUAACAGAUUUAGCUUAAGCUGUAGUUUGUUUAUAUUGCCGCAGUUUGUAGGCAGUGUAUACCCAGAAUAGUUUAGAAUGAAUUUACGCUCGUGCUAGGAUGCCGAGUUUAUUUUUACAGUAGUGUAUAGACUGUUCCGAACUGUCGGGUGCUGUCGCGGUUGACGGUGGACCAGAUUUCUGUAUUUUGCAUCCGAUUGUGCUGAGGGCACGUGAGUUAUGGUUGUUAGACCAGUUAGACCCUUCUGCUUUGACUAUAGCCUGUGCGAGCCUGAUUGAGCUCGGCAGAGAUACGCUUGCAUACUCAGUUAGGUGGCGCUCACGAGUGCCACUCCGGAGUUGGGUUUUGUGUUUUUGCGUUGUUGUCAUUGUGUCCUGUUUGGACUCGCUCUCCACUGACGACCCAGCGUGGUGGUAGUUAGUGUAGCUUCGACAGGCAGGACGGGUGUGUUCACAGUCCCUAGUGAGAUUGGGUCAGAGAUUGUAUUUUUCUACAGAUAGUUAGCGUUGGAUCGUGGUAGUAUAGUGGCAUAUAGCUGUAGAAUUAUUUCAGCUUUCUUUACUAUCCUUAAGCAUACUUCUAUAGAAUUAGUGGGUGAGCCGUUGAGGUCGGUAGCGGCACCCACUGAGGACUAUUUCGUUUUGCAGUAGUUCUGACACCCAGUUGUUGAACCCUUGUUGCAGAGCCUUCUUUUUCAGCUGUUGCUGUUGCGGAUACAGAUCGUGGAAAGGGAGUCGCAAGUUCAAUCCCUUCCCGUUUUGCUGCUGAUCUAGAGAUAUACCAGCUACAGGUAGUGUUGGUUUUUGGUUCUUGUACAUACUGAUAUUUGAUCCUCGCUGGAGUGAGUGUUAUGUAUCUAGAGACUAUGUAUGUAUAGAGAACCUGAUGUUAUUUAUAUAUAUUUUUCAGUUUAGCAGCUCUAUACUACUAGUUGUAGUUUUGUAUGAUAACAGGUACAGGUACAGCUAUCGCUUCGUAUAUAAAAAAAAUUUCUUUGUAUAUGGCGGAUUUGUCGGCGUGCCCGGGGAAACGAAUAAUCCGGGGCGUGACACUUCUAUCGUAACUUAAACUCAAAUUUGUAUUUUAUUUCAUUAUAUGUGUUGCUAUUUGAAAUUUGCCAAUUCGAAAUUAAAUUUGUGUUUAAAAUUUCUGAUUUAAAGGUUCGGUAAAAGGUUUUAAUUAACAGCUAAAAAUGGUUUUGUAAAAUUACCUUCUGUUAAAGAAAUUGUGUGAAAAAUAUCAAAGGUAGCGAAAAGCGAUUUAAGCUUUAGCAACCUUUUAAAUAGUCAAACUUAAGAUUUGCAUUAAAAUAGAAACUGUUUUAUACAUCAGCACUAUAGGCCAAAAAAAUAAGAAAGAACAAAAAAAAAACCUGAAACAUUUAGAGAAGCAAACAAAAUGCUAGAAAUAUCAUCAAACAACAUUUCUAUACGUUUGCUUGAGAAAGCUACAAAAAAAUUAUUAUAUUACUGUAACUGAAUGCGCUUAUUUUGAACAACCCAGUUGCCGUUGUAUCCAGAAGGAGUUCUUUCUUUCCAAAUAAUUCUCUCACAAGAAAAUGCAGAAUGGUAAAUAUAGACCUUUGUUCCAAUCGGAUAAUUAUCACUCAAGCUCAAAAUCUCAAUAGCACGAUUGUGUAUGUCCAUAAUGAAAAUGCCAUUGGCGGUCAUCAAAAAUAUUUUAUCAUAUGUUCAAAAAAUUGUCGUACUAUAGAAUAUAGAAUUUACCAAUAAGGGACUGAGACGCGCUCUAGCAACAAAAACCCAAGAUAAGUUGUAUGAUGGUAGAUUCCAAAUAUCCAUUGUGUCGAGACAAGUAUAUAGUAAAUCAAGGGCUCCAUCGCAGCUUACCAACUCUUUUUUGUAAGGAUAUACAGGACAAUAGCGAGCUUGGUUUGGUAGUUCUUUGAAAUGCGAAUUAAACGUUCGUAAGUCAAACACAAAGAUCUUAAAAUUAUAUACCAUCCAAUACAAAUACUGGCCAACUGAAAACGGUCCCUCCAAAACUAAAGAAUGAGUUGCAUCUAGGCAAGUUUCACCACACCAUCGCCAAUUUCAUUAUACUGAAUCAAAUAACUCACUGACCAAAUUUGAUCUGGGAAAAUGCGACCAACAUUAUUGUAGAAUUUUAUAGUGGUGAGGUGAGUAACCAUGCAUGAUCAAAGCAAAACCUUUGGAGUGGUAAGGAUUAGAUAGCUUAACCCAUUCUUUGCUAGUGGGACGACAUAUAUAGAACCUUGGAUACUGAAGAUUAUUAUUUGAACAUAACAAACAUUUAUUCAACGAGGAUGAAAGAAUAUGAACAAUCUCCGACAUAAAUCCCAAGUUAAAAUUUGGCAAAACCAAAGUGUUAUGUGCUGGAGUAAAUUCCACAGGUAAACUUAUAUCGAAUUAUUGUACAAACAAGCCAAAUGUUCCCGACAACCUUUGACAACGACACAACAUAAAUUCAAAUGUGUAAGUUGCUCUAUUGAAGUAGAAAGAGAUAGCUCGAGAAGAGUAUAGAGUAGCCAAAUCAACUCUAGUGAAAAUUUUCAUUAAAAUAUCAGUUGGCAGUUGCACACCUUCCUCAUCAUCAACCCAAUGUUGAAUAUAACUAUAUGCUAAUGACAUAUUCUAAAUAAACUAGAAAAAAUUAAAGAAUUAGUAGCCAUCGAAGGAAAAUUUUUUUUAGAAUUUUUGUAAAAUUUUAGAAAAUAGAAUCAUAAAAAAAGAGAAGAGAUUAAUUUACAAAGUGAAAAUAAAUUAUUAUACAACUAAUUCAUCUAAUCAGCGAAAAAUAUGAAUGCAAAUAAAAAAGAUUAAUACAAGUAUAAUUUUAUUGUAUACAAACAAGUAUGACUAAAAAAUAUUUUUCACCAAAGAAUGCAUAUUAAGAAAAAAUUAAAGAAAUUAUUUUUCCAAAACUAACCGCUCAGUAAGUGUAUGAAGACCAAUUAAAUAAAUAUCACCAACUUGGUUUAAAUUCACGUAAUAUCCAGGAUAUCUCCCUCUAAAAGUCUUUUUUCUCUUUAAAUUCAAGUCGUAAUUAAUGUCAUUGCUUAUGACAACAAUACCUUCUUAUAUAUAUAAAAAAAUAUAUAGAGAAAUUAAAAAAUAAUUCACAAAUAUUUACUAAUAUUUAAUAUUUAUUAAUAUUAUUGCAUUUAUUCAAAAUGCACACUUCUCUAUAAACCUAUUCGUUUUUAGGAACAACCUUUUUAUUUUUUGGUGAAAUCUCUUCAUUUCUUAGAAAAGGUAUCUCUUCGUCCAAACUCUUAGCUCUUUGUUUCCUGGAGGAAGCUCUUCGUUUGUUGGAGAAUAUACAUCUCCUCCAUAUCUCGUUUCUCGAAACCGUAGAAGAUGAAGAUAUCACAUAUUCGGUUUUUUAGUCCUUCAUUAAUUAAAAUAUUCUAACAUUAUUAUUUCUAAAAAUAAAUUUAAACUUUACUAAUUUUUAAAAAUAUUCAGAAAUAUUUAAUAAUUAGUUUGAGUUUAAUUUUUUAAAAUUUUCUGAAUAAAUGCAUUUUGAAGCAGUAGCGCUAAUCAUAUUUUUAAAAUUCCUUUUUGAAGUUUUUUUUUUUAAAGAAAUCUCAUAUUUUCUUGAUUUGACUAAAAAAAAUUAAUUGCACAAUUGAUUUAUAAAUUCUAUUCUUCUAUGACGUUUACAUUUUGCAUGUUUUAUGAUUUACAUGUAAAUUACCAAUAUACCCUAAGUAGAAAAAAAUCUCAAUUUUUCUUGAUUUGACCAAAAAGAAAUUAAUUGCACGAUUGAUUUAUGAAUUCUAAUCUUCUAUGACAUUUAUAAUUUGCAAGAAAUAUUCAGAAAUAUUUCAUAAUUAGUUGAGUUUAAAUUUUUUUUAAAAUUUUCUAAAUUAAUCCAUUUCGUAGCAGCUUUAUUCUUUCCUGCAGCGGUAAGCAUAUUUUUAAAAUACUUUUUUGUAGUAUAGAGCUGCUAAACUAAAAAAGGUAAAUAUAUAAAACCUCGAGNUACUUUUUUGAAGCUCUUGUUUUUUUUUUAAAAAAUCUCAAUUUCUCUUGAUUUGACCCAAAAAAAUUAGUUGCAUAAUUGAUUUAUAAAUUCUAAUCUUCUAUGACGUUUAUAUUUGGCAUAUUUUAUGUCACGCCUCGGGUUACUGCGUUUCUUCGAGCACGCCAACAGACCCGCCGUAUACAAAGAAAUUUUCCUUAUAUACGAAGUGAUCAUUGUACCUGUAAACCAAAAACAAGCUACAACCACAAGAUAAGAGUUGCUAAACUAAAAAGUAAUAUAUAAAACCUCGAGGGGUUUCAGUACAUACAAAAUGUUUACAACACAACUCGCUCCAGCGAGUACCUCGACAACAUCACAGUAUGUACAAGGAAAAUCCAAAACUACCUCUUGGAGGUACUCCUUUAGUACUGCAGUAAGGCUAGAAGGGAUCUAGCACGCGACUCCCUUUCCACGAUCAGAAUCAUCAAUAGCAGCAGCCGCGGACGAAGGCUCUGCAAAAAGGGGUCAACAACUGGGUGUGAGAACUACUGCAAAAAGGAGUAGUCCUCAGUGGGUACCGUCACUGACCUCAACGGCUCACCCACUAAGUUUACAGAAAAGUGCGUAAAAGAUAGUAAGGAAAGCUGGAAACCCUGCAGCUAUAUGCCACUAAACUAUCGCUAACCUACACUGGCUAUCUGUAGAUAUAACAAAAAUGCAAUCUCUGACCCAAACUCAUUAGGGACUGUGAACGCACCCGUCUCGCCUGUCGGAGCUACACCGCACACCACCCCGAGGGCUGCUGGUGGAGAGCAAAGUCCUAACCGGACACUGCGACAUGAAUGCAAAAGCACGUAGCCAAACUCCGUAGCGGCACUCGUUGGCGCGACCCAACCGAGUAUGCAAGCUUGUCUUUGUCAAGCUCAAUCAGCCUCUCACAGGCUAUAAUUAAUGCAAAUGGGUCUAACUGGUCUAACAACCAAAACUCACGUGCCCUUAGCACAAUCUGAGGCAAAACACAAAAAUCUGGGUCUACCAUCAACCGCGACGGCACCCGACAGUUCAAAACAGUCUACACACUACUAUAAAAUAAGCUCGGUAUCCCAGCACGAGCGUAAACUCGUCCUACACUAAUCUGGGUAUCCACCACAUAUGAAUAGUGGCGAUACAAACGAACCACAGUUUCUAAAAAUAAAUUUGGUAAUUUUCAAAAAUGACAGUGUAGAAUCUAUACGUUUUCUCCUAAGUCAAUUCCAAGCCCAACAUGUAAAAUUAUAAUUCUAGCUUAACUCCAAAUUCAGAUUUUAUACUCUAAUCCAUGAAUUCGAGUACUAGCAAGGAAAUAAACCAAUGACACAUGUCGACGAUGCUAAAACUUAGGAGGAGUUCCAACGAUUUCGGUAAACAUUAACCCACAUUGAAAAGCUCAUCCAACGAGGGCGAGAAGUGGAAAGAAGGGGAAAUACACGCUCGCUUGGUUUCCAACGGCGCAACCGCGACGCCCACGUUCUUGAACGGCCCUCCGGAUUGAUGUCGAUCACCUCCCGAGCUCGAUCCACGACCUCGACAACACACGAAUCCACCAGCUAGAGAGAGAGAGGAAGAGGAGAAGAAAAAUCAGCUCCUAAGCUCUCUCUGUCAAUAUAUAGGCUGGAAAAAACAUUGGGUUGAUCGACACAUCAAAGGACCAAAAUGCCCUCUACCUACUCAAAAUCCAGCUGGAAUACCGGUACCCAAUUUGGUUACCUGUGCUCGGCCUCUCAUCCCGCAAGCUCGCACACAAGGUACCGGUACCAGCCCAAUGCCGUACCGGUACUUAGCAUCAGAUUGACGCAACCUGAGAGCAUUCUGUUCUAGAAUUACUCUGGGGUACCAGUACUUCCCUGCCGGUUACCGAAACUCAACAAUGAAAUCUGCACGUUGCAGAUUUCAGCGUCAGAACUCCACUCUCGCCUCGCGUCGAGUCCGUUUUGCGUCCAUUUCGCGCCAAAAGACUCCGACUUGUCCCGACACUCUCCAGAUGUGCCGACAAGCCUCAGAUGCUGAAAUCUCACUGGCAACCAAACACCAGGGAUACUACAUUUUAUGAUUUACGUAUAAAUUUUCAACAUACCCUUGGUAGAAAAAAAUCUCAAUUUCUCUUGAUUUGACUAAAAAAAAAAAUUGCACUAUUAAUUUCUAAUUUCUAAUCUUUUAUGACAUUUACAUUUUGCAUAUUUUAUGAUUUGCAUGUAAAUUAUCAACAUUCCCUUGGGAGGAGUGGUGAGGAGAACCCACCAAAUAUUUUUGUUUAUAGUUAAUAUCUAGAUUUACAUUCCACGUUCCAAAGAGCAGCAGCCAUGUGGAUAAGGGGAAGAAAUCUUUGUUUGGACCCUUUCAAAAAGAGAAAUGCUUGUGGUACCCCAUUUUUUGGUGCCCAAUAUAUGUGACCGAUCGUAGCAUAUUAUCUUUCUAUAUCAAUAUAUAUAUAUAUAUAUAUAUAUAUAUAUAUAUAUAUAUAUAGAGAGAGAGAGAGAGAGAGAGAGAGAGAGAGAGAGAGAGAGAGAGAGAGAAUUCGGCUGCUAUACUAUCGGUAACACGGAGGCUUCCGUGCUACCAAGUUGUUUUCGAUGAUGCGGCUUCUAAAUCGACGAUCGGCUCCGUUAGACUUGAUCUACACUAUUGAAAGUAUUUGGAAACUAAAUUUCAAAGUUUUUCGUCAUCAUUUGGCUGGUGAUCAAAAGGUCUCAAAAUUGAUAAUUUUAAUGGUAGAUGUGAUGCAUUUGUAAAGUUAACGGUGUAAAACAAUCCAAAUCAGAUGGAAUUUUUAUAGAAAUUUUUUUUUUACUAUUUAGAGUAAGAUUAAUACCUCUAAUCUUAAAUUCAAGUCUUCUAUCAUCAUUUUUUAUGAGAUUUUUGUUUUCAGCCGUUCAUUUUUAGACUACUCGUUUGAUAGGUAAAUGAUACCAAAAAAUUAAGAAAUUUAGUUUCCAAAUACUUUCAAUAAUGUAGAUGAAGUCUAACGGAGCUGACCGUCGAUUUGGAAGUGGCAUCAUUGAAAACAACUUGGUAGCACGGAGGCGUCCGUGCUACCGAUAGUAUAGCAGCCUAGAGCUACUCCUUCUCCCCCCCCCCCCCCCCCGCCCCCCCCCCCCCCCCCCACCCCCCCCCCCCCCCCCCCCCCCCCCCCCCCCCCCCCCCCCCCCCCCCCCCCUCCCCCCCCCCCCCCCCCCCCCCCCCCCCCCCCCCCCCCCCCCCCCCCCCCCCCCCCCCCCCCCCCCCCCCCCCCCCCCCCCCCCCCCCCCCCCCCCCCCCCCCCCCCCCCCCCCCCCCCCCCCCCCCGCCCCCCCCCCCCCCCCCCCCCCCCCCCCCCCCGCCCCCCCCCCCCCCCCCCCCCCCCCCCCCCCCCCCCCCCCCCUCCCCCCCCCCCCCCCCCCCCCCCCCUCUAUAUAUAUAUAUAUAUAUAUAGUUAUAUAGUAUAGGCUACUAUAACAUUAAUAGUACAAACGUUGGUUGCUAUUAGGUUUCGGCGCUUGAAUGAAGGGAUGUGGAUUAAGAUUGUGAUUAGUCCCCGACGUUAUGACGAUAUUUGCUUUGCUAGCUUGUGAUAGGUGAUUAGUUGAAAUAGUAUGAUUUCAACAGUCUGAAAGAACUGGUCAGAAAGUAGAUCCUAAUAGCGGAAAACUCGAUUAGUUAUAAAGCGCUCGGUACUAUCGAUGUACCUAGUAGCGAGGACUCUCUCUCUCCUCCUCUCUCUCUUCUCUCUCUCUCUUCCCUCCCAUAAUAUUAUAAUAUAUAUAUAUAUAUAUAUAUAUUAUAUAUAUUAUUAUAAUAUAUAUAUAUAUAUAUAAAGGCUGAUGUUCUCUUAGGAGCACGGAGCACGGAGGCCUCCGUGCUCUUAAGCCAUUUUCAAUGAUCGAAUUUUCGAACCGACGGUAGGCUCCGUUAAACUUAAUCUGGCAUAUUUGAAGUAUCUAGAAAAUAAAUUUUACAAAUUUCGAUAUCAUUUACCUAGCGAUUGAAAAGUUUCAAAAUCAACGGCCGAAAAUAAAAAUCGAACAAAAAGUGGUGAUUUCAUACUAAAAUUUUCAAUUAGAUAUAUUGAUCUUACUGUAAAGAGUAUAUAGAAUUUUCUAUCAAAAUUUUAUAUCGUUUGAAUACUUCUACACUGUUAAACAUGAAAAUGAUAGACAUCAAUCAUUAAAAAUUAUUGAUUUUGAACUGUCACGCCCCGAAUUACUCGAUUCCCCGGGCACGCUAAUAGACCCGCCGUAUACAAAGAAAUUUUUCUUAUAUACGAAACGAUAGCUGUACCUGUACCUGUAGUCAUACAACACGACAACCUGUACUAUAGAGCUGCUAAAAAGAAAACAUAUAUAAAUAACAUCGGUUCAAAUACAUACAUAGUAUUUAGAUACAAAAAUCACUCGCUCCAACGAGGAACUAACAUUAGUAUGUAUAAGAACUCAAAACCAAAACUACCUAAAGCUGGUAUAUCUGUAGAUCAGCAGCAAAACGGGAAAGGUUCUAGCUCGCGACUCCCUUUCCACGAUCUGAAUCCGCAACAGCAGCAGCCGAAGAAGAAGGCUCUGCAAAAGGGUUUCACAACUGGGUGUGAUAACUACUGCAAAAAGAAGUAGUCCUCAGUGGGUACCGCUACCGACCUCAACGGCUCACCCACUAAGUCUACAGAUGUAUGCACAAAGAUAGUAAAGAAAGCUGAAAAAACUCUACAGCUCUAUGCUACCAUACUAUCACUAAUCAACAAUCUGUAGGUAUGAUAAUGCACUGUCUAACCCAGAUCUCACUAGGGACUGUGAACACACCCGUCCCGCUUGUCGAAGCAACACUGACAGCCACCACGCUGGGUCGUCAGUGGAGAGCAAGUCCAACCAGGACAAGCCAACAACAACGCAAAAGUACUAAGCCCGACUCCGGAGUGGCACUCGUGGGCGCUAUCCAACCAAGUAUGCAAGUGUAUCUCUGCCGAGCUCAAUCAGGCUCUCACAGGUUAUAGUCAAAGCAAAAAGGGUCUAACAGGUCAAACGAUCAUACAAAACAUGCCCUCGGCACAAUCUGAUGCAAAAACAAUAAACCGAGUCCACCAUCAACUACAACGGUACCCAACAGUCCGGAACAGUCUAUACACUACUGUAAAAAUAAGCUCGGUAUUCCAGCACGAGCGUAAAUGCAUUCUACACUAUUCUGGGUAUCCACCGUUCACAAACUGCGGCGAUACAAACAAACUGCGGCUCCCAGAGCUAAAUCUGGUAGUUUCAGAAAAUGACGGUAUUGAAUCGAUAGUUUUCUUCUAAGUCAAUUCCAAGUCCAACAUGUAUAAUUUAUCUAAAUCACUACUCUAUACUCCAAAUUCAAAUUUCAAUUAACAUGCAAAUCAACGAAUUCGAGCAAAUUAACAUGAUAUACAAAGAUCAAAAUACAUGCUGACAUCAACUAGGCUUAGGAGGAAAUCUGUAGUAUCCGAUAAGCAUAUCAUUAACCCACAUCUAGCGCGAGUCCGACCAAGCUAGUAGUCGUGAAGUCGCUCGGAGAACUCGACAGUGAUCAACCACGAACCAGCAACAACAUUCAUCAAAGAUCUAACACAAGAGUACCAAAUUGUAUCAAUACCCUCAAAUUCCAGCACUAAAGCUUAAUUCCUCUAAUUCCAAUGUCAAAACUCACAUUUCGAACUUCAAACCCACAAUUCGGUGAAGAACAUUCUCAAAACCAGUAGGGAAUGAUGGAGCAACCUCCUCUGGUCGAAAUUCCAGAUUCCUCAAAGAUUUGGUCCAAGAAAACCACAAAAAUUCAAGUUUCAGCUCCAAUACAGCAGCAGUUCAGAAAAACAACAAAUUAACCUUACUAAUCUCAAUCAAUUUUCGUCAAAUUAGCACCACGAAACCUUCAAGAAGUCUACUAACCACCAAACUAAGUUUCGCAGCAAUCCGACCUUCCUACGUCGCACACCAGCCAAAACGCCGAAGGUCACUGCUGGAAUUCUGCUGGAGUUGCAAUCCUCAAAGUGGAAUUGUGCAAUUAGGAGAGUUUAGAGGGGCUAAACUGCAAAAAUAGGGCUUCUCUGUGAAGGGGGUGAAAAAGCUUCUUAGGAGGUCGAACACAAGCUUUUAUAAAGAGAUAAAAGGAUAAGAAAAACCUCAGGAAUAGGAAAGACUAACCUGUUGUUUCUGCAGAAACGAGCACUUUCGGCAGCCCGAAACUCACUUCUGGGCGUCCGAAACCUCCAAGCCAAACAAAGCUCCCUCUUUGGUUCCUCCACUUGCAGUAUGGUAUGCCCUUAACGUGGUCCGGUGUACCUUACCUACCACCAAACACGUGUCAACGCAAUCGAUAUUUCCAAAGUAAACAUUCGGGCCCACUUCCGGGUGUCCGAAACCAGCAUUCGAAUUGGCUUCUAGUUUCAGCUCAGUUCAGCACUCAGUUUUGGGCGACCCAAACCAAGGUCUAGGCGCCCGAAACUGGCAAAACUCCAGUUUUACUUAUUUGAGUACGCCUAGUUCGUUUCUGCAUCUAUUUUGUGCAAAAAUGACUCCGAUUCAAUCCAACACUCUCCAGAUGUGUCGACCAAUCACUAAUACUGUAGCCAAUCCGAUACAAAACUCCCAGGAUACUACAUGAACUCUUUCGAUCUAUAGGUAAUGAUAUCAAAUUAUCACAAAAUUUAUUUUCUAGAUAAUUUAAAUACAAUAGAUCAAGUUUAACAAAGCCGAUCGUCGAUUCAAAAAUUCAAUCAUCGAAAACGGCUUAGGAGCAUAGAGGUCUCCAUGCACCAAAGAGCACAGUAUAUAUAUAUAUAUACAGGGUCCGGCUGGUGUACUAUUAUGAGUACGAUCGCCCUCGUACUCAUAAGUUGUUUUCGAUGAUAGAGCUCCCGAAUCGAUGAUCCACACCGUUAAACGUUAUUUACAGCAUUUAAAACUUCUAGAAAUCAAAUUUUAUAAUUUUUCGACAUCAUUUACCUUACGAUCAAGAGGUCACAAAUUUGAUAAUUUUUAACGGCCGGUAUGGGAUACUUGCUAGUUUAACGGUGUAAAAGAAUCGGAAUUUGUUGAAUUUUUGAUAAAAAAUUCUAUUCACUACAUAGAUAAAGAUCAAUACCUCCGAUCUUGAAUUGAAGGAUCCGAUCACCCUUGUUUAGAACGUCGUUCGAUUUUGACCGUUCAUUUUAUGCCCACUUGAUGGACUUUAUUAUGAAUUUCGAAAAUUUACGAAAUUUAUUUUCUAGAAGUUUCAAAUAGUCUAGAUUAUAUUUAAUGGAGUGGAUCGUCGAUUCGGAAGCUCCAUCAUUGAAAACAACUUAUGAGUACGAGGUCUCCAAUACUCAUAAUAGUAUAGUAGCCAUAGCCUAUAUAUAUAUAUAUAUAGUAUAAUAUAUAUUAUAUGGGCAAUUUUUUUAUAUAUCCUGAAAGUUUCCGACUUUUCGAUUUACCCCCCUCUUAGAAGCUAAUAUUGAAAAUACCCAUCCUACGUCCACAUAUUUCAAUAUACCUUUAGAGUUACAUCUAUUAAGUAACACUGUUAUCUCGUAAAAUCACUAUUUUGCCCCUUUCAAAUAUAACCCUUCCACCAUCAUUGUCUUUUCUUAUUGCCCUAAAGUCAGGGCACAAAAAAAUUUCAACUUUUGUCUUUUCGCAAUAUAUCCCCUCUACCGUAACCAACAUUUCUUAAUUUGCCCUUAAGUUAAGGCAAAAUUGGCAUUUUAAUUUCCUUUUAACUGUGAUAGAAUAUUUAACUCGCGUUUAACUAAGGUUAACUUAACAGAAGAUAACUACGGGGGUAUUUUGCAAUAACCGGUGGAACAUAUGGGGGAUUUUAGAAAGAAAAAAAAAAAUAGGGUAGAUCGAUAUUUCGCGACGCAUGAGGGUAUAUAGGCAAUUAUCCCUAUCCCUAUAUAUUUAUAUAUAAUAUAUUAUAUAUAUAUAUAUAUAUAUAUAUAUAUAUAUAGUCCAGCUAUGCAUACUUGUAAAAGCACAAGCACUUGGUGCUUGUAAAUUUUUUACCGUUAGAUGCUACGUCUUUGAUCAUUUUUACCCGUUAGAUCAUACUAUUAAACAACCACCCACCUCAACCCUAGGGGCCUACAUCAUCCUAACCGCGCAUUCCUUAAUCCAAUGGCCGAAACUUACAACACAAUGACUUGGUAUCUUUAAAAGUAUAGGAGCUCAAUUAAUAUAUAUAUGCUAGGCUGGUACACCUAUCGUAGCACGGAGGCCUCCAUGCUACCAAUUGUUUCAAAUUGACAAUUUAACGGUAGAUGUGAUGCGUUUGUGAAUUUAACGGUGUAAAACAAUCUAAUCUGAUGAAAUUUUAUAAAUUUUUUUUCACUAUUUAGAGCAGGAUCAGUACUUUUGAUCUUAAAUUCAAGUAUUUUAUCAUCAUUUUUAUGAGAUUUUUAUUUUCAACCGUUUUUUUAGACUACUCGUUUGAUAGGUAAAUGAUGCCAAAAAAUUAAAAUUUAGUUUCCAAAUACUUUUAAUGGUGUAGAUCAAGUCUAAUGGAGCCGAUCAUCGAUGGAAGCCGCAACAUUGAAACAACUUGUAGUAUACCCAACCUAGCUCUCUCUCUCUAUAUAUAUAUAGCUCUAUAUUAUACCAACAGCUCUAUAUAUAUAAUAUAUAUAUAUAUAAUAUAUAUUAAUAUAUAUAUCCAAUAUCAUAUUAUAUAAUUCAUAUCAUAAUAAUAUAUAAACUAUAUCUAUAUAUAAUAUAAUGCUCCGACAUAUGAAUACUGUGUACAGAACAAAGAUUGAGUGACUUGUAUAAUUUUUUAUACCCAGUUAAGAUCUACGAUCUUUAUCAUUUAUUAAUACGUUAGAUGCAUACUUAUUAAAACAGACACUCAUAACCUAGGGAGCCUACAAUCCUCCUAACCGCGAAAUUCUUAUCAAAGCGCGAAAACUAAAAGCAACCAAUGAUUAGUACUUUUAAAAGUUAUAAGGAGAAUCAUUACAUAUAUAUAUUAAGAAACUACGAAGCAUGUAACAAACAUCCGGAAUAGCAAACCACGAGAACGGCCUCCAUGGCUACCCAGAUGUUUUCAAAUUGACAUUUUAACGGUAGAUAGUGAUGCGUUUGGUGAAUUUAACGGUGUAAAACAAUCUAAUUGAUGAUACAAUUUUUGUAUAAAUUUUUUUUCACUAAUUAGAGCAGGAUCAGUACUUUUGAUCUUAAAAUUCAAGUAUUUAUCAAAUUAUUUUUAUGAAGAUUUUUAUUUUCAAGUUCUUUAUUUAGACUACCGUGUUGAAGGUAAAUGAGUCAAAAAUUAACUUUUAGUUUCCAAAAUACUUUUAAUGGUGUAGAAUAAGUCUAAUGAGCAUCAUCAUUUGGAAGCCGAAACAUUGAAACAACUUCGGUAGAUAAUACCCAACCUAGCUACUCUCUCUUAUAUAUAUUAGGCUCUAUAUUAUACCAACUAGCAUCUAUAUAAAAUAUAAUAUAUACUAUAAUAAUAUAUAUAUAUAUAUAUAUAUAUACUGUCACGUCCCGGAUUACCACGUUUCCAACCUAGCUCUAUAUAUUUAUAUAUACUGUCACACCUCGGAUUACCACGUUUGCCCGAGCACGCCAACAAUCCCGCUAUAUACAUAGGAAUUUUCUGUGUAUACGAAACGAAAGCUGUACUUGUAAGCAAGUUUUAGCUACAACCAAAAGUAUCGAGCUGCUAGAACUAAAACAUAUCUAAAAUAGAAAGGUUUCACUGUAUGUCCACCAACACCUCGCUCCAACGAGUAACACCAGCAUAUAUAACCGUAUGUACAUAAACGAAACCGAAAAAUCUACCUUUGAAGGGCACUCUGCUAGCACGGCGACCACGGGUGACAAGGAUCUAGCUCGUGACUCCCUUCCCACGGUCGGAAUCAGCAACAGCAGCAGCCGCAGACGAGGGCUCUUUUAAAAAGGUGUCAUCAACUGGGUGUAAGAACUAUUGCAAAACAGAGUAGUCCUCAGUGGGUACCGUCACCGACCUCAACGGCCCACCCACUAAGUCUACAGUAAUGAUAUGCACAGGUUAGUAAGGAAUGCUAAAAAACUCUAUAUGCACAGGUUAGUAAGGAAUGCUAAAAAACUCUAUAGCUACAUGCCUCUAUACUAUUACUACUAAAACCAACUAACUGUAGACAUAGCAUGCAUCACUAGCUACCACUGACCCAAUCUCUUACGGGCUGCCCAAACGGACCCACCCCGCCUGUAACCAAGCUACACCGUACACCACCCAUGGGGAUGGCUGGUCCAAGAAAACGGUCCAAAUAGGACGGCUGCGAUAUCAACGCAUGUCAAAGCCUCACUCCGGAGCGGCACUCGUGGGAGUGACCCAACCGAAUAUGCAAGCGUGUCUCUGCCGAGCUCAAACAGGCUCUCACAGACUAUAGUCAAUGCAAACGGGUCAAACUGGUCUAACAACCAAAGCUCACGUCCCCUUGGCAUAAUCUGAUGCAAGAUACAGAAAUCUCGGUCCACCGUCAACCACGACGGCACCCGACUAUACGGAACAGUCUGCACACUACUGUAACACAAGCUCGGACCCUCAGUACGAGCGUAAACUCACCCUACACUAAUCUGAGUAUCCAGUACGUACUAACAGCGGGGAUACAAAAUGAUCACAGCUCCUGAAGCUAAAUCUGGUAACUUUUUAGAAAAUGACAGUGUAGGUUUAUCGAGUUUUCUCCUAAGUCAAUUCCAGGUUCAGCAUUAGAAAUUAUCGAAAUUCUUCAAUCAUGCUCCAAAACUCAGAAUUCAUAAAACAUGCAAAUUCCUGAAUUUGAGCUACUAAUAUGAUAACUAAAGCAAAAACCACAUGUUGACAAUACUACGACUUAGGAGGAAAUCCGACGAUUUUGGUAAACAUCAACCCACCUAGAUCGCUCGUCCAACAUUGGCAAGAAGUCGAAAGGAGAAACUAUGCGCGCUCGCUCGACCUCCAACGGUUCACCCGAGAUGACCCAUGUGCACGAACGGUCCUCCUAGCUAGCGAAGACUCCGCACGAGCUCGACCCUCGACUUCCGAAUGAGCGGCGUACACAAGCUAGAGAGAGAGAGAGGGAGGAGGAGAAGCUAUCUAAGUUCCCAAGCUUCUCAUGUAGAUAAAUAUGCUGAGGGUAGGUGGCGAUACAAUCCACAACCAAAAAGACCAAAAUACCUCUUACCAACUCAAAUCUGCCUCUGGGGUACCAGUACUCAACUUGAAUACCGGUACUCAGCCCUCUCUCCAUAAUCUCGUGUGCUGGGUACCGGUACCAGCCCGAUGCGGUACUAGUACUCAAGUUCGGUACCGGUACUCAACAACAGGUACCGGUACUCAGCAUCAAUCAUGCACAAACCCGAGAGCAUCAGUUCAGCAAUCUCACUGAGGUACCGGUACUUCUCCCCAGGUAUCGGUACUCAAUACUGAAAUCCUGCACUGUAGAUUUUAGUGUUAGAACUCCACUUUCGCUUUGCGCUGAGUCCAUUUUGCGUCCAAUUCCCAGCAAAACGACUUCGACUUGUCCCGACACCCACCAGACGUGUUAACAAGUCUCAGAUGCUGAAGUCGCUCAAACUACUAAAUACCAGGGACAUUACAUAUACAUAUGUAUUUAUACAUAUAUGUAUAUAUGUACAUAUAUGUGUAUAUAUAUACAUAUAUAUAUACACACACAUAUAUAGAGAGAAAGAGAGAGACAGAGUUGAGCUGGAAUACUAUCGGUGACAAACAGGCUCCAUUGCCGCAAUUUGUUUUCGAUAAUGGAGCCUCCAAAUUGACAAUCGGCACUGUUAAACAUGAUCUAUACUACUUGAAAUAUCUAGAAACCAAAUUACAGGUUUUUCUAAUAUUGUUCUCUUGUCCAUCAAGUGGACACAAAAAUGAACGGCUAAGAAUAAAUAUCCUUUAAAAAGUGACGAUAGGAAUCUUGAUAUCAAGAUCAAAAGUAUUGAUCUUGUUCUAAAUAGUUUUAAAAAUUUUCUAACCAAAAUUCAAUUGAUUUGUAUACUUUUACACCGUUAAAGUGAAAACACCUCAUAUCGACCAUUAAAAUUAUAAAUUUUGUAACCUUUUGAUCAUUAGGUCAAUGAUGUCAAAAAAAUUUAAAAUUUGGUUUCUAGAUACUUCAAGUGGUAUAGAUCAUUCUCAACAGUGUCGAUCGUCGAUUUGGAGGCUCUAUUAUCGAAAACGAAUGGGUGGCAACAGAGCCCGUUUGCUACCGAUAGUAUUCCAGCUCAACUCUAUAUAUAUAUACAUAUAUAUAUACAUAGAACUAUGCUGGAAUAGUAUUAAUAGCACCAAGCUAUUUGUACUAUUAGUUUUUUAACCCUUAAAUUGAGAAAUGUGUGGUUUGGAUGAUAAAGGUCCCCUAGGUUUGAGUAGGUUGUUGGUUGAAUAGUAUAAUCUAACGGAUGAAAAUAGUCAAAGGAGUAGAUUUAAUAGACGAAAAUUUAAGAGUAUAAACGCACUCAACUUUAUGCAACCAAAUAAAUUAUUUAUAAUUGUAGCAUUUUUUACCGUAUUCAUCCAAACAAGAUAUAUAUAAUUAUAAUUAUCAUACCUCCGACUACAUUAUAUUUCUAAUUACACCAACCAAACAGCCCCUUAACUUGGCCGUAGUUCUAAUUAUAACAUUGAAAAGAGUCGUUUUAAAUAAAAGAUAAGCUUGCUUGUCUAAUCACAUUUUAAAAACAAUUUUUUUUCUUUCUUACGCUGGAAGUUUUAUCACCACCACAUAAUAUAUAUAUAUAUAGAGUAAUGAAAUUUUAAAAAUAAAUUUCUCAACUAUGUACAGCUAAACAAAUAAUUUGUAUUUGCAGUAUUUUCUACUACAUCCAACGAAACAAAAUGUAUAUAGUUAUAACUAUCAUAUUUUCAAUUCAUGUAUUUUCAAGUAUAUUGUGUUUUUAAUUGCAUCCAAUCACGCAGUCCUUAAAUUCAAUUAGAUUGUCAGAUUUAAGCAAUAUUUGAGUUUUUUAUAUAUAUAUUUUCAGGAAAGAGUUUGAAGUUAAUAUUAACUAAGAGAGCUCAAAUGAGUAUAGUGUAAACCUAGUGUACACACUUUUCUAGCAGUAUAUUCACAUUAGCUAAGUAAUUAAGAAUUUACUAUUAUUUUAACUCCUGAUAAUGAGGAUCGCAGAGCACAACAAUAAUAACACACUACUUAAAAAAUAUAACUAUUGCGCUUUAAGUCAUCUAACGACUAAUGUUAAUAAAUAAAAUGAAAUUAGGGUGACAGUAUAUGCAUAAAUAGGUUAAUUUCAUACAACUCAUUGAAAACAUAGUGAAUAACAAACAUAUCACUACAAAAUUCAACAUUCAUAUAUUUUCCCUACAAAAAUUUUGAAUGUUUUCAAAUAUAUCCCUAUUAUUAGAAUCCGUUAAAAAAAUUUAAUUAACUAUAGGUUAAAUACUAAACACUGAUUAAUUUUUGAUAUUUUACCCAUUUAUAUUAUACUGCUAUACCUCUUGGAUGAAUAUAUUUAUGAUGGCAAAAUUAAAAAUAUAAACAGUUUUUUAAUGGUUCUUUAACGGUAACAAAUCAGAGAAAUAUAUUUGAAAAUAUCAGGAUUUAUACAAGAACAACAUACGAAAGUUGAAUUUUAUAGAAAUAUAUUUGUCAUUCAUUAUGUUUGCAAGAAUCUGUAUAAUUUUAUUUAUUUAUUUUUUUUGGAGAGAUGAAUCUGUAUGAAAUUAAUCCGAUAUAAAUAUAUUGUUAUAUUUUCUGAUGGAAUUAUAGAAAAAAUAUAAUAAACGGGCUUUUACAAUAUGCGCAGAAUGUGAUAUUAUAUAUAGAAAUAUAAACAAUAUUUUUUUAUUAUAUUUCUUUUACCCGACGUAACACAAGCACUCCGCAAUUCGAAAUAAAACCUUAAAAAAGUUUAGUAGAAAGCACUUCUAUUUAAUUAGUACAANGUUUUAUCAAAAUGAGAGUUUUCGUUCUUAGCUAUUCGUGCGUUGCGAAACUACUCGUGUUCCGUGCUUGUGACCUGGGGUAGGAUGAAGAAUAUUUCGAGUCCCUACUAGUGGUAGGGAAGUCAAGUUCUAUAGUGAAAGUUGGUUUAAUGGGUUUACACAUAGGUAUAUGUGCGAUUUAUGGAUUAGUUAGAGAGCGGAUAGGUUCCGUCGCGAAUCCGUGACCAAAUCUGACGAAACAAGAUAGUAGUUUUGAUGCCUCCGACGUGCUGAACGCAAUGGUGCCGUCGGAUCGAAAAUCCGAUAGACGGAUCUCCGGGAAUUGCGAGAUGUCCGCUAAGGGGUCGAAUUUUGGCAAAACGGAUAAUCCGCGAAAAGCGCGGCAUUUUAUGUACCGAAUCGCGAGAGAUCGGACGUGGAGGUAUGUACGCGCAAGUUGCAUGUCCUGGCAGGGGCUGAACCUUAAAUAUUUUGUGUUGCAGGGGUUUUCUGCAACUGUCCACUUGUAUAUAUAUUGGUAGUUAGGGUUUUUGGGCACGAAACCCUAGAUCGAGUCACCUUCCUCGCCCAGCAAACCCUAGAUGACUUCAACCCAUCCCUGCCCUCGUCGUGCUCGCGCCCCAGUCGCCGGCAAGCGACCCCGGCCGUGGGAAAAGCCAAGGUUCCCCUCUCCUUUCCCCUCGGCCAGCCCUCCUCCCUACCGAGGUGACCUGGAAAGCUGUCAUUAACCCUCCUGGAGGUUUCCCUCGGCAGAGGCCGCUCUCCGGCAACGACCUCGGCCGUCCCUGCCAUCAGCACGCACCGCCGGCCGCUGCUCCUGCUAUUGCGGCCAGCCCGAGCAAGAUCUGGCCGUAGGUGGCCAGAUCUCUCUCCCUUGCGCCGCCGUCGCUUGGGAUGGGCUGCGCCGCCCUUCCAGGCCGCCGACGAUCCCUCACCGACGGUAUCCGACGUCCUUGCGCGCCGCCGGCGCCGUCGAGACCUUCUGCGGCAAUCUGCUGCAGCUCGGGCCGAGUUCGAGUCAGCUCGUGGCCGCGAGCUGCAGCCGCCUCGAGGCGGGCCGCCCCGCCUCCCGCUGCCGCCGGCGACCUCCCGCUUGUGUUUCCCGACGUCCCCGACCACCGCCGGCCGCCGCCCGAAGCUCCUGCAGCCGCCCAGACUUGGUGCGGGCCGAGGCUAGGCUUCCCUCCAAUCCGCGCGUCGCCGCCGCCCACAGCGGGGAGCACCACCCUCCCCACGGCCUCCGGCGAUGGAUCGCCGUCGCCCCGACCUCCUCCGGCCGCCGCCGCGCCGCCGGGAACACAUGGAACCCGAGAGCAAGCCGCGGCUUGAUCUCCUCCGCCACGCCACUGGCCGCCUCCCGCCGCCGGCCAGCAGGUUCCCCGGACCCCUCGGACCAGCUGCUCCCAUCUCCGGCCGAAGCGCUCGCCGUCCGGCCGCCGCCGGCCAGCCCUAGCACUGCCCUGGCCGGUAAGCAACGUUUUUGCUGUCCUGUACAUGAUUUCCUGUUCUAGUCACUUUUCCGGCGACCCGAGGCUGUUCCGAUGCCUCCGGGGGUGAGCACGGUGAUGGUCUGUCAGUCCUGAUCGCAGUGCUCACCUCACUUAGGGUCAUAGAGCUCCGGAUGAGUUAGUUACAUGUGUUUUAGUUUCAGUGCGCGCAGUUUACUGAAUUUCGCGUCGCUCGUGCGCUCCCCACAGUGGCCGGAAUUGCUCCGAAAGGUGAGCACGGCCUCCGGCACGCCGAGACCUGUCAGUAGGUGUCUCGGUUUGGCUGAAUGACUCCUAGUUUGUGUAGACGGACCAUAAAAGCGCCGAAAUCGCAUGAAAUAAUGCGAUUUCGGGUAAUCGGGAGGGAUUUUAUGUAUUUUGAGUUGUUGCGGCUGCUGUUGGCAGCAUGGAUGAAUUGUGGGUGACCUCUGGACUGAUUGUCCAAGGCCCCGGACCUUUGCAAAGAUCGGAAAUGUAUUUCCGGUGUGUUUGUCGGCAAAAUCCGCCGACGGAACGCGGUUUUGGCUCGGAAUUAUUCCGACGGUGCUUCGUGAGCUAUUGUGUAGUCGCUGAGCCUUAUUGGCUGGUCACCCGUGUCAUUUCGAGGGUUCGGAAAUGACGGGUGAGCGACGGUGGGUUCCGGUGUCGAAAUAGACACUUCCGGGAACCCGGAUCGGAAUAAUUAUCCGACGAUAAUCGUUUCGAUGUGAGGCUAGGUGUUUGCUGCCAUGAUGCACGAUUUCUUAUGUUUAGUGGCAGCGGAUGACUCGUAGCACGAGUCGGUACGUUCCGGGACAGUUCGUGGGUCCCGACGGAGUCCCGGUGCGAUUUCGGGACUUCCGGCGAGUUACGAUAGUUGGUUUUAGGAAACCGAUCAUCGUGGGUUUGUUUGUGAGGUUGUGAGAGCUAGUGGUUUGUUAUUUGUGGGUUAGACACUAACCCAGGGGACCCUCCUUAGGUCCUGUUGACGUUCUUUUGCAGUCAGGAGACAGACGCGACAGUUGUACAGGUGGGUACUUCGAUCCGACGUUGGUACAGUGGUUCACGCUCGGUGAUGGCUUCUUACCCUUGCUCUUUUGUUAUUCUCCAUGCUUAUGUUAUAUGUUGAGCCUUGCACCUCUAUUGUUUGCAUUACACCCACGUUGUUUGAUUAUACUCUACUCAGAUGUUUCCAUGCUUAGUAUCAUGUGUAGGAGUAUAGUCUAUCUGUAUGUGAUACCAUGUUUCCUUGUUGCUCUACUUAGCUAUUCUGCAUACCCUGUUUCAUAUUUAUAGUAGAGCGAUUCUGUGAUUAUCUGUGAGAUUAGCGAUCUAGUCGGUCGAUUCUAAUAUUCAGUAUUUGUGACAUGAUUGGUCAAGUUUCAUAUCCUGUACUUGUGACAUGAUUGGUCGAGUUUCAUAUCCCGUACUUGUGACAUGAUUGGUCGAGUUUCAUAUCCCGUACUUGUGACAUGAUUGGUCGAGUUUCAUACCCUAUACUUGUGACCUGGUUGGUCGAUUUGAUUACUUGAUGACCCAUGCGGUCGAUGGGCCCUGGGGGGCAGGAUUGUCGGCUGGUUGCCGACGGUUGAUCAUUGAGCAUAUUGCAUUGAUUGCCCGAUACUCGUCGCAUUUCACGAACACUGGCGGUCUGAUCCACCGCAAGGAGUGUUCUUUUCCGGAAAAGUGGUUGAAUGGUGACAACCCGUGAGCCCUAUAGAGGUUAUAUGCAUAUUAGAGCGGCAGUGGUACUGUCGGGAGGUGUUGCGGUGCGGACCUCCAGGGCAUUGGCUUGAGGUCUGCGGUGCUGACCAAGAGAGCAUUGGUUUCAGAUUGGGUACUUUUGGACUGAUUGUUCCAUUGACGCAUAUGUUUAUAGUAGCAGUCGUUGCAUGCAUACUUACAGAUCUUACUUUAUAAUUGUCUUGCUACUAUAAUAGAUAUUCAUGUAUGCUUUCUGUUCCAGUUACAGUAGUGGUAGCCAUUAUUCAGUCUAGCUCCUGCUCUCUUUCAGUUUAUUGCUACUGUAUCUAGUAUAUCUGCUCAUUACCUUAUACAUCUCUUACGUUUACUACUGUUCCUACUACAUUUUCACUGACCCUUGUUGUUACUUAGCUCUCCCUGAUCCGGUGAGUACUCCUCGCCUUCAUCGGCUUGCGGUACCCACUGGGAGGGGAGACAUGUUUUACAUGUUCUCACCUCCCCCACCAUUUUUUUCAGGUAUCGCGGGCGUUGAGUAGUGGGACGAGACGUGAGGUACGUGUAUAGCGGUCGAUAGAGCUUCCGACCCAGGUUAUUUCGAUUUAGCUAUUACCCUUUUAUUUCUGUGGAUAUAUAUAGCUUAGUCGGUUUACAUGGUUCAGUUUUGUUUUAUUAUUUGAAUAUCUAAGUUUUCAGUUGGUUUUGGAAUUGUGUUUUCUUGAAAUAAAAGGUUUUCUACCCCUCGUGGUAGCGUUUCUUAAAGAAUAAAGGUUUUCGUGUAGGGAACAGUUUUCAAAAGAAUUUUCGUGAAUUUCUAUUUAAACACUGAAUGUAAAUCUGUGAUGUGAAUGGUGAAUGUAUGAAUGUAUAAUUAUCUUCAUAUUCAUUUGGUUGUGGUUGUUUCCUGGCUAUGGUCUUGUACUUGUGCGACGCCGUGCAAAUACAGGGGAGACUCUGUCCGUGUGAACAGUGGAUUCCAUGUAUUUGUGGCGGAUCUGGCAUACCCUGGGGUCAAGUUUGCAAAAAAAAAAAAAAAAAAAUUUCAGACGCUUUUCCGCUACCUUUUUAACCUGAAGGGACCCCGGGGCGUGACAGAUUAAAGUGGUAUCAGAGCGAGGUUACAACCACAACACUAUUCACAUGUUGUUUUUGAAAAGUAAAUGAAACUGAACCAUUGGUUAGGUUGACCAAUAGGAAGACCACGGUGUAUAGGCACGUGAGUGCGGGGUUUGGACUUGUGUCCUGGGUUGCAUUCGAGUUUGGUAAACUCGAAGUGCAUGGUGUUUCUGUACGUGUUACGGUUCGCACAAGCUAGUGCCUAAGUCGGGGGUUGUGGCAGUGUACUUAUUCGGACAUCGAGUGGUGGGGCGACAUUCCCCAGGUGUUGCCAUUCCUGUCAAGUGGGGCCUUGAAGGGCCAAGUGAGAUUUUCGGGCCUAGGCGAUUGUUAUAACCGCCGACGCCCAGGCUACUCUCUCAACUUAGGACACGAGAGCUACUGCGAGUGUCUCUACGGAGAUGGUACUUAGACCUGCUAAGGUCGCAACUNGCAGAUAUCAACCAUUAAAAAUUAUAAAUUUUGAAUCAUUUCGAUCACUAGGUAAAUGAUAUAAAAAAAUCGUAAAAAUUAUUUUCUAGAAACUUCAAAUGCGCUAGAUCAAGUCUAACGGAGCCGAUCGUCGAUUUGAAAAUUCGAUCAUCGAAAACGGCUCAGGAGCCUUGCUCUCUCUCUCUCUCUCUCUCUCUCUCUCUCUCUCUCUCUCUCUCUCUAUAUAUAUAUAUAUAUAUAUAUAUAUAUAUAGAGUCCGGCUACUAUACUCUUAUGUGUACGAUCGUCUUUGUACUCAUAAGUUGUUUUUGAUGAUAGAGCUUCCGAAUUGAUGAUCCAUACCAUUAAACAUUAUCUAGAGCAUUUAAAACUUCUAAAAAUCAAAUUUUAUAAUUUUUCGAAAUCAUUUACUUUACGAUCAAAAGCUCACAAAAUUGACAAUUUUUAACGGUCGGUAUGAGAUAUUUGUUAGUUUAAUGGUGAAAAAGAAUCGGAAUAGGUUGAAUCUUUUAUAGAAAAUUUUAUUCACUACCUAAAUAAAGAUCAAUAACUCCGAUCUUAAAUUGAAGGAUCCGAUUAUCUAUUUUUAGGAUGUCGUUCGAUCUUAACCAUUCAUUUUAUACCCGCUUGAUGGACUUUAUAAUGAUUUCAAAAAAUUUCGAAAUUUAUUUUCUAGAAGUUUCAAAUACUCUAGAUCAUGUUUAACGGUGUGGUUCGUCGAUUCGAAAAUCCCAACAUCGAAAACAACUUAUGAGUACGAAGGGCUCUAUACUCAUAAGAGUAUAUAUAGUAGCCAUACUCAUAUAUAUAUAUAUAGAGUCCGGCUGGGGUACUAUCGAUAGCACCAAAGAUUUGGUGCUAUUGAGUUUUUCACCGUUAGAUUUAACCCUUUGAUUAUAUUUACCCGUUAGAUUAUACUAUUCAACCAACCACUCACUCAACCCUAGGGGGCCCACAUCAUCCUAACCACCCAUUUCUCAAUCCAAGGGCUAAAAAAUCAAUAGCACCAAUAGCUUGGUGCUAUUGAUAGUAUUCCAGCCUAAUUCUAUAUAUAUAUAUAUAUAUAUAUAUAUAUGAGUUGGUCUUGUGUGCUAUUAGGAGCACAGAACUCUCCAUGCUCUUAAGCCGUUUUUGACGAUGAAGCUUUCGAAUCGACGAAAAAUGUGGUGAUAUAGCACUAAAAUUUUAGAUCAGAGAUAUUAAUCUUGUUGUAAAUAGUAUAAAAAAUUUUCUAUUGAAAUUUCAUCUGAUUUGAAUACUUCUACACCGUUAAACUUGCAAACAGUAUACAUUAACCAUUAAAAAUUGUUGAUUUUUAUUCUUUUCGAUCACUAGGUAAAUGAUAUCGAAAAAUCAUAAAAUUUAUUUUCUAGAUACUUCAAAUACGCUGGAUCAAGUUUAACGGAGCCGAUCGUCGAUUCAAAAACUCCAUCAUUAAAAACGGCUUAGGAGCACGAAGGCCUCCUUACUCCUAAUAGCACACAAGACCAUAUAUAUAUAUAUAUAUAUAUAUAUAUAUAGAGAGAGAGAGAGAGAGAGAGAGAGAGAGAGAGAGCUAGUCUCCUAUAUUAUUUAUAGUAUUGGGGCUCCGGUACUAUAGUCUCGUUUUCGAUCUUAGGGUGUUCAAAUCAACGAUCCACACUGUUAAAACUGAUCUAGGGUAUUUAAAGUUUUUAAAAAUAAAAUUUUAUAUUUUUUUCGACAUAGUUUACUUUAUGAUCAAACCAUUUCAAAAUUGUCAAUUUUCAAUGGCUACUACGGCGAGUUUGGAGUUUAACGGUAUAGACGAAUCUAAAUUUCUUCAAAUUUUGAUAGAAAAUAAUUUAAAGUAUCUAAAUUAAGGUUAAAAUUCUUGAUCUUGAAUUUAAAAGUCCUAGACUCAAAUUUUAAAGAUUAUUCAAUUUCCACCUCCCAUUUUGAUAUAAUUUAUUUACUAAGUAAACGAUGUCAAAAAAAAUUAAAAUUUUAUUCCUAAGAACUUCAUAUAUCCUAAAUCAUAUUUAACGGUAUGGAUCAUUAAUUUGAACACCCUAAGAUCGAAAAUAAGACUUUAGUACCGGAGCUCCUGUACUAUAGGUAGUAUAGUAGCCUAAUUAUAUAUAUAUAUAUAUAUAUAUAUAUAUAUAUAUAUAUAAAGAGAGAGAGAGAGAGAGAGAGAGAGAGAGAGAGAGAGAGUCCGGCUGGGAUACUAUCGAUAGUACCACGCGCUUGGUGCUACCGAAUUUUCUACCGUUAGAUUUAUCCCUUUCAUCAUUUCUAACCGUUAAAUCAUACUAUUCAACCAACCACCCGCUCAACCCUAGGAGACAACUAUCAACUUAACCAGGGACCACUAUCAUCCUAACCGCACAUUCUUUCAUCUAAGGGCCGAAAACCUAGUAGCACCAAUGACUUGGUGCUAUUAAUAGUAUUCCAGCCAAAUUCUAUCUAUAUAUUUGUGUUCAUGUGCUGGGCUUUCAAUGUGGAGGAUUCGGGUUUAGAAUUUAGGUAAAAUAAUGAUGCUUUGGAUUUAAUAAUGAUAAUUGGGAUUAAGUAAUUAAUGAUUAGAGAGAAUAAUAAUAAUGUCAUAUCAUCAAUAACUAGUGUAGGACACGCGAUACGGCGAGUAAAAGUUUUUUUUAAAAAAAAAAGAACCCGGAGUACAAAAUGUGCACCAAGAGAUUUAUCAUUUAUCAAUCCAAAAAGAAGAGAGAAGAUGAGAUGAAAAGAAAUAGCAAUACCUAGUGAAAAUCAAACAAAUUUGAGUGCUCGAUCUCAUUGUGACAUCCAUUAAGGGCUCGAAGAGCGUGGUAUCGAAGAUGAUGGAGGCGAAACCUAGGGUUUCAACAGCAUCAUGGUGGCUUAGAAUAGAGAUGUUGUUGAUCUUAUGAUGUACUGGCUUACCUUCUUCCAAGUGAUCUUGAUGACAGCAGUCGCCUCUUGAAACGGGAGGAACAGCAGCAGAGUGCGGUGACGCUGUUGUGGGGUUUCGUCAUCAGUCAUGCAGAAUGAUCAAAGCCUUAGAAAACAAAAAAGGAAGAGGGAAGAAAAGAACGAGAUGUGGAUGGAGCAGUUGGCGACAGUAUCAACAUCGUCACCGUCCUUUGGAGAGCACGUAAUGCUAAUGAAGGCGACAGUCGAAAGGCUCCAAGUUGAGAUACGAGGAGGGAAGGAGUGGAAAUAAUAGAAUGGAGAUGAUGGUUGGAGCACCACAGCGAAUAAAAAAUAUUCAUUUGGGAGAGAAGACAAAACAACAGGUAAAGAAGAGAGCUGAAAAAUUAUUAAUUGGGAGGAAAGACAAAGUGGAUGAAAAAUAUUAAUUGAGAAGGGAAGGCGAAAAAGCAAGAUAAAAACGAGGAAAUCGAAAAAAAUAUUAAUUAGAGAAAGAAGACAAAACAGCAAAAAAAGAAGAGAAAACUGAAAAGUCGAGUUCUUUUUCUAUACAUAGAGGAGGGGAGGUAGACCCCACACCCACCGCUGAAGCUGACACUAUGUAUUAUUGAGAAUUCAUAUAUUGUUAUAAAUAUUCUAAGAUACAAGUUGGAGUACUUGUAGCAGCACUCUUUAAAAAGCGAAAAGAAAAAAAAAAGAAAAAAAAAAAGAAGAAGGUAAAGACAGGGCUUAACUACACUAUACUAGAUUGUACUUUGGUAUUAUAUUUUUUUUACUUUUUUUUUUGAAAGAUACUUUUGUAUUAUUGUAUUUUAUCAAUCUUUACACUAUAUUUUAGAUUUAUUUUUAUUUUUUUACCUUUUUGUAUUUUGUUUUCUCAUAGAUGUCACUAAAUUAUUUUUUUUCUGCCAAUAUCUAUAUUACUGUUAAUAAAUUUAUUAGUUUAGAUAAAAUCUAAAAACUUUAUUAAGAAACAGUGGGUAAAUCGUAGAAAAUAUAGAAUAAAUCUCCAUAAUAGACUGAUUAAAAUAUACUAUCAAAUUAUUUUUAAUUAUUUUUUGUUUUUUUUAUUUUUUUUUAUUUUACAUGUCAAAAUGAAUUGAAUAUAUGCGUUGCCACUUUUAACCGGUACUUUUUUAUAAUUUUUAUAUAAAAUUAUAGAUUUAUUACGCAUACUGUAGGAGUUGAAAAAAACCCAAAUAGUUGAAUGGUGUCUUUGGAGAAAAAAAAAAAAUUAUAAUAAGUGAAAAAUAAAGCUACAAACUGUAAUGUAGUAUUGUAUAAUUAACUCUAAAAUAUACCAACUAUAUAGACUCUUUUAAGUUGGCUUCUCAAUAUUUAAAAAUUUUGAAUUUUACUAUCUAUUCUUUCAGUUUAUUUGAUUUAAAUCAGUCAAUGGCACUUCAACUUAAAAAUUUGAAUAUAUCGUUUAUUUUUACAAAUUUAGUUAAUAUACUUCAUGUUAUUUUCGCAGCUAUAAAUUUGUUAAAUCCAAUAAUAGUUUACAACUUUAAAGUCCUUCAAUAUCAUUGACUAACUCAAAUCAAAUGAAUUAGCAUGUUGGGGAGUAAAAUUGAAAUUUUGAAAGAUUGAAUAGCCGAAUCAAAAUAGUCCAUAGUUUAGAUAAGUUCUAUGCGUUUCAAAAGAGUAAAGGAAAAACUUCAAAACAGUCCCAUGCUAUUUAAUCGCAUUUUGUUUUGCUACACUCUGAUUUUGUUUUCAAUUUACCGUACAGAUUUGCAGUUAAACAAGAUAGCAUAAUCUUAUAAUUUAUAAGACUACUGCAGGAAAGUAAAGUUCUAUAAUUUAUAACCCACAAUAUUUUAGAAGUUACCGUUUUAACUUUGCUCUCCUAUGGUUUAUAAAUUAUGACAUUUUUGAUAUCUUAUAUAACGGCAGAUCUUUGAACAAGUUCCAAAGGGCCGCCCAGUUUCCAAGCCCAAGCUGACCCUGACAGUAGAAAAACGGCCUUGAGAGAAGGGCCCAAGCGGGAGAGGAAAGAGGAGGGGAAGUAGUAGGAAUACAAAUAGAUCCGGAUCGGUGGAGAUCCUGUCCUAAUCCAUCCCGAAUAAGAUGGUAAGUAUAAUUCUAUAUAGUCCGGCUACUAUACUAUCAAUAGUACCAAACCCUUAGUACUAUUGAGUUUUCUACCGUUAGAUCUACCCUUUGAUCAUUUCCACCCGUUAGAUUAUACUAUUAAACCAACCACCCACUCAACCCUAGGGGACCACUAUCAAUUUAACCAAGGACCAUUAUCAUCCUAAUCGCACAUCUAUUAAUCCAAUGGCCGAAAACUCAAUAGUAUCAAGGGCUUAGUACUAUUGAUAGUAUAGUAGCAUAAUUCUAUAUAUAUAUAUAUAUGUAUAUAUAUAUAGAGAGAGAGAGAGAGAGAGAGAGAGAGAGAGAGUAGGUCUUGUGUGCUGUUAGGAGCACGGAGGCCUCCGUGCUCCUAAGCCGUUUUCGAUGAUAGAGCUUGUGAAUCGACGAUCAGCUCCUUUAGACUUGAUAUAGCGUAUUUGAAGUAUCUAGAAAAUAAAUUUUGCGAUUUUUCGAUAUGAAAUACCUAGCGAUCGAAAGGGUUCGAAAUCAACGGCUGAAAAUAAAAAUCUCACAGAAAGUGGUGAUAUACCACUAAAAUUUUCAAUCAAAGAUAUUGACCUUGCAGUAAAUAAUAUAAAAAAAAUUUUAUCAAAAUUUUAUCUGAUUUGAAUAUUUUUACACCAUUAAACUUGCAAACGAUAUAUAUCAACCAUUAAAAAUUAUUGAUUUUGAACCCUUUUGAUCGCUAGGUAAAUAAUAUCGAAAAAUCACAAAAUUUAUUUUCUAGAUACCUUCAAAUAUGCUAGAUCAAGUCUAACGAAGCCGAUCGUCGAUUCGAAAACUCCAUCAUCGAAAACCGCUUAAGAGCACGAAGGCCUCCGCGCUCCUAAUAGCACACAAGACCUCUCUCUCUCUCUCUCUCUCUCUCUCUCUCUCUCUCUCUCUUUAUAUAUAUAUAUAUAUAUAUAUAUAUAUAUAUAUAUAUAUAUAGAGUUGAGCUGGAAUACUAUCGAUAGCAAACGGGCUCCGUUGCCACCCAUUUGUUUUCGAUGAUGGAGCCUCAAAAUAGACGAUCGGUACCGUUGAAAAUGAUCUAUACCACUUGAAGUAUUUAGACAUCAAAUUUCAUGCUUUUUCGAUAUUAUUCUCUUGUUCAUCGAGUGAAAAUGAACGACUGAAAAUAAAUAUCCUCUAAAAAGUGAUGAUAGGAAUUUUGUAAUCAAGAUCGAGAGUAUAAAUCUUAUUCUAAAUAGUUUAAAGAAUUUUCUAAAACUAAAAAUUCAAUUGAUUUGGAUAGCUUUGCACCGUUAAAAAGAAAACGUCUCAUAUAGAGCUUAUUAUAAAUUACAAAUUUUGAAACCCUUUGAUCAUUAGUCAAUAAUAGAACAGAUUUGAAAUUUUAUUUCGUAAAUACUUCAAGUGGCAUAGAUCAUGUUCAAUGUGCCCGAUCCGUCGAUUUGACGGCUCCAUCAUCGGAAAAAAAAUAGGUGGUCAACAAGGCAUGUUUGCUACUAAUACGUCGGUAGCAUUCCAGCUCAAACUUCUCUAAGCCAGACGUCUUUUUCUCUCUCAUCUCUCUCUCCUCUCUCUCUCUCUCUCUAUAUAUAUAUUACUAUUAUAUAUAAAUAGAGAGGAGAGAGAGAGAGAAGAUAGAGAGAGAUGAGAGAGUCCAGCUACAAUGCUAUCGAUAGCAACCAAGUAUUUACACCAAGUAUUAGUGCUAUCAAGUUUUCUGCCUUUAGAUCAACCCUUUGACCAUUUUCAUCCGUAGAUCAUAACCUAUUGCAACCAACCACAUCCACUCAACGCCUAGGGGAAUCCACUAUCAAUCCUAACCUACUCGCUUCAAUCAAAGAGCCGAAAAUUUAAUUAGCACCAAUACUUAUGUGGUUUUAGAUAAGGUAUUCUACCUAAGUUAUAUAUAUAUGUAUAUAUACAUGAUUCAUAUACAUAUAUAUAUGUAUAUAUAAUAUAUAUAUAUUAUAUAUAUAUGUAUAUAUAUACAUAUAUUACAUUAUAUAUGUAUAUAUGUAUAUAUAUAUAUAGAAUGAGCUCCUAUGCUUUUAAAAGUAGCCAGUGAUUGGUGCUUUGGUAAGUUUUCGAGCCCUUGGAUUAUAGGGAUUGUGAGGUUAGGCAUGUAUGUGGGCCCCCUAGAGUUGAAUGGUGGUUUGGUUAAUAGUAUAAUCUACGGAUAAAAAUGAUGCAAGGUUAUGAUCUAAUGGUAAAAACAAUUACAAGACCAAGUGCUACUGUGCUUUUACAUAGCACCAUAGGCCGGACUUUAUAUAUUAUAUAUAUAUUAUAUAAUAUAUAUAUAUAUAUAUAUAUAUAUAUAUAUAUAUAUAUAUAGUAUGUCUUGUGUGCUAUUAGGAGCACGGAGGCCUCCGUGCUCCUAAGCCGUUUCGAUGAUGGAGCUUCCGAAUCGACGAUCGGCUCCAUUAGACUUGAUCUAGUAUAUUUGAAGUAUCUAGAAAAUAAAUUUUAUGACUUUUCGAUAUCAUUUACCUAAGAAUCGAAAGUGUUCAAAAUCAACGGCUAAAAAUAAAAAUCUCACAAAAAGUGUUGAUAUAGCAUUAAAAUUUUCGAUCAAACAUAUUGAUCUUGCUGUAAAUAGUAUAAAGAAUUUUCUAUCAAAAUUUCAUCUGAUUUGAAUACUUCUACACCGUUAAACUUGCAAAUGGUAUACAUCAACCAUUAAAAAUUGUUGAUUUUGAAACCCUUCGAUUGCUAGGAAAAUGAUACCGAAAAAGCACAAAAAUUAUUUUCUAGAUAGUUCAAAUACGCUAGAUCAAGUCUAACGGAGCCGAUCGUCGAUUCGGAAGCUCCAUCAUCGAAUACAGAUUAGGAGCAUGGAGGCCUCCGUGCUCCUAAUAGCACACAUGACCUACUAUAUAUAUNUGGUUGAUAUCUGCCAUUUUCAAGUUUAACAAUGUAGAAGUAUUCAAAUCAGAUGAAAUUUUGAUACAAAAUUCUUUAUACUAUCUACAACAAGAUUAAUAUUUCUGAUCGAAAAUUUUAGUGCUAUAUCACCACUUUUUAUAGAAUUUUUAUUUUCAGCCGUUAAAAAUUAUUGAUUUUGAAUCCUUUCGAUUGCUAGGUAAAUUAAAUCAAAAAAAUCGUAAAAAUUAUUUUCUAGAAACUUCAAAUACGCUAGAUCAAGUCUAACGGAGUCGAUCAUCGAUUCGGAAACUCCAUUAUCGAAAACGGCUCAGGAGCAUGGAGGCCUCCGUGCUCCUGAGAGCACAGCAGCCCUGCUAUAUAUAUAUAUAUAUAUAUAUAUAUAUAUAUAUAUACAACUUGGUAGCACGGAGGCCUCCGUGCUACCGAUAGUAUACCAGCCUAGCUCUCUCCUUCUCUCUCACUCUCUCUGUAAUACCCUUCAUUUUGAGUUGGUCUAGGGGCAUAGUGGUCAUUUUUUUUGGAUAAGGAUGCCACCACCCUUUUCAUGUUUAUCCCUUCAAAUUAACAGAGAGUUUGCAUUUUUUUUGCUCUCUCUAGUUAAUUACGUGCAUGGUGGAGAGCACGGGUAGAGGUAGCCGAGGAGCUCGAAUUCGACGCCGACGACGCGCCGCGAAGUCGUUCGAGGGUACGGUUGGGAUCGUAGCACUGCGAGGAAGAUAGGCGAGGGUGUAUUUUCGCCGUUCUCGACGCCGCAUCGAUGUCCAAUUAGCCUUUGAGGUGAGUGUUCCGUUGCAUUGCUUCAAGUAUUAUCAUUUCGAGCUUGGUGCUGAUUUGCAGAAUUUCCAGCGCCGACCGUCGGUAUUUCAGUUCGUACUCGGCGUAGGAGUGUCGGGUUUCGACGGGAGUUGGUUCGUUGGAUUCGAGACUUCGAGAGGAAUCCACGAAGCCCUUACUUGCUGGAUUUGGUAACGGUUUGCUAGGUCGGAAUUUCGCUCUUCUCUGUUGCUGUUUUUGGAGGCAGAGUUAAUGUUUAUUGUCGGAUUCUCCGUGUAGAGUUUAGCGGGAGCUUGACUUUGGGCCUUGGGAGGUUUUCGGACGUUUCAGCAGGUUGUUCCGUAGCCGAGGGGAGUUCCGUGCUGCCAGGGAUUAGCGAUCGAGGUGGGUUAUAUCGGUUUAUUCCUAAGUAUUAUAGUAGUCGACAUGUAUGAUUUCCUGUUUUUGUAAAUCAUGUGGUAGCUCAAUUUCGUCGAUUGUAUAAUGAAUGAAAUUAGCUUGAGAGAAUGACUUGUAACUAUAAAUAUAUAUGUUGGACUUAGAAUUAAACUUAGGAGAAAACCAGCGUUCGGGACCUGGCAUAUGUUAAACUACCUGAUUUAGCCUAGGAGCCGUUGUAUUAUUUUAUACUGUUGCAGUAUCCUCAUAGUGAGUAUUCCAGGUAGUUUAGUUUUUAGUUACGCUCGUGCUGGGAUGCCGAGUGUAUUUUUACAGUAGAGUUCAGGCUGUUCCGGACUGUUGGAUGCCGUCGGAGUUGACGGUGGACUCGUAUCGCCUUUUUGGCGUUAGAUUGUGCCGAGGGCACGUUAUCUGUUGGUUGUUAGACCAGUUAGAGUCGGUUACUUGACUUAGCCUGUGAGAGCGGUAUGAACUUGACAGAGAUACUUGUAAACUCGUUGGGUCGCGCCCACGAAUGCCAUUCCGGAAUGAGGUUUCAGUGCGAUGAGUGUCGCAGUUUCUGUUGGACAGUUCUUGAGCCGGCUACCCUCAGGGUGGUGUACGGCGCAGCUAGAUACAGGCAGAGUGGGUCCGUUUUGGGCAGCCCGGGUGAGAUAGUGAGUGACGCUUUUCCCUACCUUUGGUGAAGUUGUGACGUGAGUGGAGUCUUAGCCGUCCUGUUGGACCUUUUCUAGAACCGACUACUCUUGUGAUAUGGUGUAGUCUAAUUAGGCGAGACGGGUGUAUUCACAGUCUUUAGAGAGUUUUCUCCGCCGGUUACUCUUAAGAUACGGUGUAGUCUAGUAGAUGAGAGGGGUGCAUUCACAGUCUCUAGAGAGUCUUCUCCGCCGGUUACUCUCGAGCUACGGCGUCACCUAAUUAGACGGGAUGGAUGUAUUCACAGUCCCUAGAGAGUUUUCUCCACCAGCUACUCCUAGAGUAGGUUACGGGUUCGAUCCGACAGGCGGGACGGGUGUGUUCAUAUUCCCUAGUGAGAUUGAGUUAGUUAUGACUUUUACUACAGUUGGUUAGUGUAGAUCAUGCUAGCGUAGCGAUAUGUAGCGGUAUAUUUCUUUCUAGCUUUUCCUGCUAGCCUUGUUACCUUCUGUAGACUUAGUGGGUGGAUCGAUGAUUGUUGAGGGCGGCACCCACUGAGGACUACUUGUUUCUACAGUAGUUCUCACGCCCAGUUGUUACUCCGUUUUUGCACAGUUUUCGUCUUCGGCUGCUGCUGUUGUUGGUCAGGAGCUAGGCAAGGGNCGAAGCUCCGGUACUAUAGUCUUGUUUUCGAUUGUAGAGUGUUCAAAUUAACGAUCCACACCGUUAAAUAUGAUUUAGGGUAUAUGAAAUUCUUAGUAAUAAAAUUUUAGCUUUAUUCAACAUCGUUUAUUUAGUAAAUAAAUUAUGUCAAAAUGAACGGUGAAAAUUGAACAAUCUUUAAAAUUUGAGCAUAGGACUUCUAAAUUCAAGAUCAAGAAUGUUGACCUUGAUCUAGAUCUAGAUCUAGAUAGUUUAAAGUAUUUUCUAUCAAAAUUUGAAAAAAAUUUAGAAUCUUCUUCACCCUUAAACUCCAAACUCGCCGUAGUAGCCAUUGAAAAUUGACAAUUUUGAAAUAGUUUGAUUAUAAAGUAAACUAUGUCGAAAAAAUAUAAAAUUUUAUUUUUAAAAUCUUUAAUUAUCCUAGAUCAGUUUUAACGGUGUGGAUCGUUGAUUUGAACACCCUAAGAUCGAAAACGAGAUUAUAAUACCGGGCCCCGCUACUAUAGAUAGUAUAGGAGCCUAAUUCUAUAUAUAUAUAUAGAGUUGAGCUAGAAUACUCUCGAUAGUAAACGGGGCGUUUUACUAUCGAGUUGUUUUCAAUGAUAGAGCUUCCAAAUUGACGAUCGGNNNNNNNNNNNNNNNNNNNNNNNNNNNNNNNNNNNNNNNNNNNNNNNNNNNNNNNNNNNNNNNNNNNNNNNNNNNNNNNNNNNNNNNNNNNNNNNNNNNNNNNNNNNNNNNNNNNNNNNNNNNNNNNNNNNNNNNNNNNNNNNNNNNNNNNNNNNNNNNNNNNNNNNNNNNNNNNNNNNNNNNNNNNNNNNNNNNNNNNNNNNNNNNNNNNNNNNNNNNNNNNNNNNNNNNNNNNNNNNNNNNNNNNNNNNNNNNNNNNNNNNNNNNNNNNNNNNNNNNNNNNNNNNNNNNNNNNNNNNNNNNNNNNNNNNNNNNNNNNNNNNNNNNNNNNNNNNNNNNNNNNNNNNNNNNNNNNNNNNNNNNNNNNNNNNNNNNNNNNNNNNNNNNNNNNNNNNNNNNNNNNNNNNNNNNNNNNNNNNNNNNNNNNNNNNNNNNNNNNNNNNNNNNNNNNNNNNNNNNNNNNNNNNNNNNNNNNNNNNNNNNNNNNNNNNNNNNNNNNNNNNNNNNNNNNNNNNNNNNNNNNNNNNNNNNNNNNNNNNNNNNNNNNNNNNNNNNNNNNNNNNNNNNNNNNNNNNNNNNNNNNNNNNNNNNNNNNNNNNNNNNNNNNNNNNNNNNNNNNNNNNNNNNNNNNNNNNNNNNNNNNNNNNNNNNNNNNNNNNNNNNNNNNNNNNNNNNNNNNNNNNNNNNNNNNNNNNNNNNNNNNNNNNNNNNNNNNNNNNNNNNNNNNNNNNNNNNNNNNNNNNNNNNNNNNNNNNNNNNNNNNNNNNNNNNNNNNNNNNNNNNNNNNNNNNNNNNNNNNNNNNNNNNNNNNNNNNNNNNNNNNNNNNNNNNNNNNNNNNNNNNNNNNNNNNNNNNNNNNNNNNNNNNNNNNNNNNNNNNNNNNNNNNNNNNNNNNNNNNNNNNNNNNNNNNNNNNNNNNNNNNNNNNNNNNNNNNNNNNNNNNNNNNNNNNNNNNNNNNNNNNNNNNNNNNNNNNNNNNNNNNNNNNNNNNNNNNNNNNNNNNNNNNNNNNNNNNNNNNNNNNNNNNNNCGGAAAACAGAUUUAAUACCUGGCCCGCUACGUCCCGCGUACUUAGAUAGUAUAGAGACUGAGCUAUCUUUAUAUAUAUGUAUAUAUAUAUAUUAUAUAAAAAUAUAAUAUAUAAUAUAUAUAUAUAUAUAUAAUUAUAUGUAUAUAAUAAUAAUACUAUCGGUAGUAAACGAGCCGUUUUACUACCGAUUUGUUUCGAUGAUAGAACUUCCAAAUUGACGAUCGGCUCCAUUGAACAUGAUCUAUACCACUUGAAGUGUGUUAGAAAUCAAAUUUCAAAUUUUUUGACAUAAUUUGCUAUGAUCAAAGGUUUGCAAAAUUGUGUAAUUUAAUGGUCGAUAAAAGGUCGUUUUCUCGUUUAACGGCGUAAGAUAUCCAAAUCAAUUGAAUUUUUGUUAGAAAUUUUUUAAACAAUAUUUAAAAUAGAGAUCAAUACUCUUGAUCUUGAUUACAAACUCCUAGUCAUCAUUUUUUAAAGAGUAUUCAUUUUCAGCCGGUUCAUUUUCUGUUCACUUGAUGGAUAAAAGAACAAUAUCGAAAGUGCGUGAAUAUUGAUUUCUAGUAAUUUAAUGGUUUAGAUCAUAUUUACGGAGCCGAUCAUCAAUUGGAAGCUCUAUCAUCGAAAACAAAUCGGUAGUAAAACGGCUCGUUUACUACGAUACGUUAUUCUAGCCUCAAACUCUAUAUAUAUAUAUAUAUAUAUAGAACUAGGCUGGAAUACUAUCAAUAGCACCAAAUCCUUAGUGCUAUCGAUAGUACCCCAACCUAGUUCUCUCUCUCUCUCUCUCUCUCUCUCUCUCUCUCUCUCUCUCUCUCUCUAUAUAUAUAUAUAUAUAUAUAUAUAUAUAGUAGGGCUACUAUACUAUUAUGAGUAUUGGGCCCUUCGUAUUCAUAAGUUGUUUUCAAUGAUGGAGCUUCCGAAUCGACGAUCCACUCCGUUAAAUAUGAUCUAGAGUAUUUGAAUCUUCUCGAAAAUAAAUUUCGUAAUUUUUCGAAAUCAUAAUAAAGUCCAUCAAACGGCAUAAAAUGAACGGUCAAAAUCGAAUGAUGUCUUAAAAAUGGAUGAUCGGAUCAUUCAAUCUAAGAUCGGAGUUAUUAAUCUUUAUCUAGGUAGUGAAUAGAAUUUUCUAUCAAAAAUUCAAGCUAUUCGGAUUCUUUUGCGCUGUUAAACUAGCAAGUAUUCCAUACCGACCGUUAAAAAAUGUCAAUUUUGUGAGCUUUUAAUCGUAAGGUAAAUGAUGCCGAAAAAUUAUGAAAUUUGAUUUCUAGAUGUUUCAAAUGCUCUAGAUAACGUUUAACGGUGUGGAUCGUCGAUUCAGAAGCUCUAUCAUCGAAAACAACUUAUGAGUACGCGGGUGAUCAUACUCAUAAUUGUAUAGUAGCUGGACUAUAUAUAUAUAUAUAUAUAUAUAUAUAUAUAUAUUAUUAUACUCACUAUACUAUAUAUAAUAUAAUGGCAGCUCCUAUGCUUUUUAAACAAAAAAAAUAAAGUACAGAGUCACUUCGUGUUUUGUAAAUUUUGGCCUUGGAUUAAGGAUGUGCGGGUUUAGGAUGAGUCGGGGCCCCCGUAGGUUGAGUGGAUGAAUUGUUAAAUAGUAUAAUCUAACGGAUAAAAAUGAGCAAGCGAUGUGAUCUACGGUAAAAUAUUUACCAAGCCAUCAAGCUUGAUAUUUUUACAAGCACGAUCAAAUGACUUCCCGAUAGUAUAGUAGCGUCUACUCAUAUAUAAGAAAGAAGAGAGCAGGGCCUGCCGUGCAUCCUGGAAGCCGUUUCAGAUGACUGGAUUUCGAAUCGACGAAUCGACUCCGUUAGACUUGAUCUAAGUUAUUUUGAAGUUUCUAAAAUAAUUUUUGUGAUUUUUGAUAUCAUUUACCUAGGUGAUCGAAAAGAUUCAAAAUCAAAUAUUUUUAAAUGGUUGUAAUUUGCCGUUUUUUUAAAUUUUAAUAGUGUAGAAGUAUGUGAAAUGAUGAAAUUUUGACGACAAAAUUCUUUAUUACUUCUACACCAACAGAUCAAUUCUUUUAAUUGGAAUUUUAGUGUAUAUCAACCACUUUUUAUAGAUUUUAUUUUUCAGCCCGUUAAAAAUUAUUGAUUUGAAUUCUUUCGAUUGUACGCGUAAUGCAUUAUCGAAAAUCGCAAAAAAUUAUUUUUAGAAACGUUCAAAGUACGCUUAGAUCAAGCUCUAAACGGGAGCUGAUCGUCGAUUCGAAAAUCCGAUCAUCGAAACGGCUAGGAGCACAACGAGCCUGCUAUAUAUAUAUAAUAUAUAAUAUUAUAUUAUAUGAGAGAGAGGAGAGAUCGGGAAGACUGCGAGGUCACGAGUCUAGUGGGGGUGGAGAGAGAGACGAAGAGAGAGACGUUGAAGCUUAGAUCUCUCAAAGGCACAGAGGUUGGUGCUUUGAGUUUUUUCAAAACCCUUAGAUGGAAAAAUUGUAAAGUUUGUGAUGAUCGGUGCGGUAGAUGGUCGGUAGUGAAUUAACGUGUUUGAUCCAUGGGUAUUAGUUAAUCAAGAAUAGAUCCCCAAGGGCUAGGAAAACCUGAGAGCACAAGGGUGAUACUUCUAAAGUAUUUUUAGUUAUAUAUCUAUAUAAUCAUAUAUAUCUAUAUAUAUAUAUUAUAUGAGUAAGUCCUCAUGACUUAUUGAAAGUACGGAGACCUUUCGUACUUAUAAGUUGUUUUCCGAUGAUAGGAAAUCCGAUUCCGACGAUCGCCGCUCCUUAAAAUAUAUAAUUCACCUUAUUGGAAACAUUUAGAAAACCAAAUUUAUAAUUUUUUGACUGAUCAAUUUACCAAGGCGAUCAAAAAAGUCGUCAAAAAUGACUAUUUCAAUCGCCGAUGGCACGUUUUUAAGUUCAACGGUGUUAAGAGUAAAUCCAAUUAGAUAUGAAAAUUCAAUACGAAAAUUCUACUUAAACAUGAAUAGUCAAGCCAAUACUUCCGAUUUGAAUUUCGAGUAUUAUCACUAUGUUUAUGAGAUUGUUAUUUUUCAAGCUGUUCAUCUUUUGAGCCUAUCGUUUACUGACAAAACAAAAUCACAAAAUUAUGAAAUUUGGUUUCUAGUAGUUCCAACAGCGUUAGAUCAUGUCCUUAAACAGAAGCCGGAUCGCCGGAUCGAAUGUACCCAAUUAUUGAAAAAAACUUACAAAUACGGAGGCUCCCGCUACUCGAAGCAUAGGAGCUAUAAUAUACUACUCUAUAUAUAUAUAUAUACUAUAUAUAUUAUUAUAAUUAUAUAUUAUAUAUAUAUAUAUAUAAUAUAUAUUAUAUAUAUAUAUCACUAUAAUUUAGGCGGGGGGAGGGUGGGGGUGGGGUCAGACUACAAAAAUCGCACUACUCCGCUGUAACUUAAUUUUCAUCUAAUCCACUACUUAACACGUUCCUUAGUAUUAAAUUAAAAGUCAAUGAUAUUCAUCAUUUUAUACAUCAACCUUAACUCAUUAUUAAUAGUAAAAAACGCAUCUGGGUCUGUAUUCAAGAAUUUUACCUUUGAUUGAAAAAUGUGGAGUCAGGCAUGAAUAUAUUAGUCGGUUAGAAGUUGAGUGAUCCCGCUAGGCGUUGAGUUGGAUGGUCCUACUGGGUUAUAAUAGGUUAAUCCAAUGGUUAGAAAUAUGAAGAGUUGAUCCACAAGGCUAAAAAAACUGGUGCAACAAUAGGAUUUUUUGCUGCUAAUAGUAGCCCGCAGUCCAACUCAAUUUAUAUAUAUUAUAUAUAUAUAUAUAUAUAUAUAGUAUAUAUUAUGAUACUAUCAUAUUAAUAGCCCACUAAGUUAUUGGUGAUUAUUAGGUUUCGCCUUGGAUGAAUGAAUGUUUCCUUAGAGUAUGAUAGUGGUAUGCUAAUGUUGAGUGGGUGGUUGCGAUUGAACUAGUAUGAUAUAACAAAAGGGAAAUGAUAAAGAGAUAGUCUAAGAUCUAAUGAUUGGAAACUCUCCCUCCUCCCCCUCUCUCUCAUCCUUCCUCCCUCUCCUCUUCGUCGCGAGUCCUGAUCUUCUCUCUCCUCUAGCUCUCCGGGCCUAGGCUCCUUCUCUCUCUUUUGAUAUAUAUAUAUAUAUAUAAUAUACUAGUAUAUAUAUAAAAUUGAGCUCUAUAUAUGUUUAAAUAUACAAAGUCAUUGGUGCUUGUAAGUUUCGGCCCUUGAAUUAAAGAAUGUGCGAGUUAGGAUGAUUGGGCCCCUAGGGUUGAGUGGGGUGGUUGCGUUGAAUAGUAUAAAUAUGAACGAGUGAAAGCGAUCAAGCAUAGAUCUAACGGCUAAAAAAUUUAUAAGACCAAGUGCUGGUGCUUUUACAAGCCACCAUAAGCCGCGACUUAUAUAUAUAUAUUGAGAGAAGAGAGAUGAAUGAGAUGAGCAGGGCUUGUUUAUUGCUCUCCUCCGUGCAUCUCUGAGCCGUUUCUCGAUGCAUGGAGUUUCGAAUCUGACAUCGGCUCUAUUAAACUGUGAUCUAACGAUUUGUAAGUUUAUCUAGAAAAUAAUUUGUUGUGAUUUAUGUCUAAUAUCAGUUUACCUAGCCAUCGAAAGGAUUCAAAAAUCAAUAAUUUUUCAACAGCCUGAAAAUAAAAAUCCUAUAAAAAGUGGUGAUAUCAGCACUAAAAAUUUUCGAUGAGAAAAUAUUGAAUCUUAUUGAGAUAGUAUAAAAAUUUUGUAUCAAAUUUCAUUGAUUUGAAACUUCAUACACCGUUAAACAUUGAAAACGACAGAUAUUCAACCAAUUAAAAAUUAUGGAUUUUUGAAUCCUUAUCGGAUCACUAGUGUAACAUGAUAGUCGAAAAUAUGCAUCAAAAAAUAUUUAUCUAGAAACUUAAAAUGCCUAGAUCAAAGUCUAACGGAGCCGAUCGGUCGAUUCGAAAAUUCCGAUCACGAAAAGGGCUAUGGCACAGGAGGCCUCUCGUUCGCUCCUGAGAGUUAUCAAGGCAGCUCUGCUUAUAUUAAUAUAAUAUAUAUAUAUUAUAUAUAUAUAAAUAUAAGAGAGAGAGAGAGAGAGAGAGAAGAGAAGAAGAGCACUGUGGUGAGAGAGAGAGAGAGAAGCUAGCCACUAUACUAUCGGUAGCACGUGAGCGCUCCGGCUAGCCAGUUGUUUUCAUGAUGCGGCUCCAAAUCGACGAUCGCUCUGUUUAAACUUGAUCUACUACUUAAAAAGUAUUUAUGAAAACUAAAUUUCAUAAUUUUGUCGAGUACCAUUUACCUAUCAAACAGUAAGUAAAUGAAACGGUUUGAAAUAUAAAAUCUUAAUAAAAACAUGAUAUAAAAGAAUUUAAAUUCAAGAUCAGAUAUACGAUCUUAGCUCUAAUAGAUUAAAAAAAUUGUUCUUAUAAAAUUUUCCGGAUUGAAUGUUUUACACCGUUAAACUCUCAAAACACACCCGGCCCCUUGGUUUCUACCACUCGGCAUGUAAAAUUGUCAAUUUUGAGAUCUUUUGACACGAUGUCAAAUGAUGGUCGAAAAAAAUCUGAAAUUUAGUUUCCAAAUCUUUCAAUAGUGUAGAUCAAGUCUAACGGAGCAUCAUCGAUUUAUAAGACCGCAUCAUGAAAAAAACUUGGUAGCUGGAGCGCUCCGUGCUAACGAUAGCAUGGAGUAGCUACUAUGCAUCGGAAGCCACGGUAGCUUUCGUGCUCAAGCCGUUUUCGAUGUUGCGACUUUCGAAUCGCGAGCGGCUCGUUAAAACUUGAAUCUAGAGUCUUUGGACGUACCUAGCAAAAUAAAUUUUAUUAUUUCGAUAUCAUUUGCCUAUGAUCGAAAUUGGGUUAAAAUCAACAAAUUUUAAAUGGUCGCUAGUGAGCCGUUUGCAAGUUAUAACGGUGUAGAAAUAUCCAAAUCACAUGAAAUUUUGAUAGAAAAUUUUUAUACUAUAUAAAACAAGAUCAAUAUUUUGAUUUUAAAAUUUAAUAUCAUAUUAUUACAUUUAUUGUAAGAUUUUUAUUUUCAGCCGUUGAUUUGAGCCCUUCGUUCACUAGGCAAAAUGAUAUCGUAAAAUCAUAAAAUUUAUUUUCUAGGUACUUCAAAUCCUCUAGAUCAAGUUUAACGGAGCCGAUCGACAAUUCGAAAGUCGAACAUCGAAAAUGAGCUGGAAAGCACGGAAGGCCGUGCUUCAUGAUACCAUAGUAGCCUUACUCUCUCUCUCUCCUCUCCUUCUCUCUCUCUCUCUCUCUUCUCUAUAUAUAUAUAUAUAGAGUAGGGCUACUGUACUAUUAGGAGCACAGCAGUCCUUGUGCUCCUAAAUUCUUAACCGCCCAUCAAAUUUGAUGGGUGGUUAGGGUAAAAGAAAGAAGAGAAAUUGAAGAUAAAUUCAAAGAGAAGAGAAAUUGAGAAACCCAAUUUCUCUUCAAUUUCUCUUUUCUUUUUCAUCCUAACCACCCAUCAAACUUUAUGGGCGGUUAAGAACUUAGGAGCACAAGGGCUGUUGUGCUCCUAAUAGCACAGUAGCCCUACUCUAUAUAUAUAUAUAUAAUUGAGCUAGAAUGUUAUCAGUAGCAAAUGGGCUCCGUUGCCAUCCAUUUUGUUUUCGAUGAUAGAACCUCCAAAUCGACUAUCGGCAUCAUUGAACAUGAUUUAUACCACCUGAAGCAUAUAGAAAUCAAAUUUCAUAUUUUUCCGAUAUUGUUCUCUUUUCCAUUAAGUGGACACAAAAAUGAAUAACUGAAAAUAAAUAUCCUUUAAAAACUGAUAAUAGGAGUCUUGUAAUCAAGAUCAAGAAAUAGAUCUUAUUCUAAAUAGUUUAAAUUUUUUCUAACCAAAAUUAAUUGAUUUAGAUAUAUUUAUGCCAUUAAAUAAGAAAACAUCUCAUAUUCACCAUUAAAAUUAUAAAUUUUGAAAUUUUUUGAUCAUUAGGUCAAUAAUGUAGAAAAGAUUUGAAAUUUGGUUUCUAAAUAUUUCAGAUGAUAUAGAUUAUGUUCAAUUGUACCAAUCGUCGAUUUGGAGGUUCCAUCAUCGGAAACAAAUGGGUGGCACCGGAGUCUAUUUGCCACUGAUAAUAUUCCGGCUUAACUCUCUCUCUCUCUCUAUAUAUACCAGAAGCCAUCUCGAUCUGCAAGGCAAUAGAGCGAAAGAUGAGAGACCCUUUCUUUCUUUGAUCCGCUUUGAUCCGUCAAAAAUUCGCUUAUGUCCUGAUCCGCUCCUAAUAGAAUAGCGAACUGCCAAGACAAGGGAGCGAAAGAUAAGAGACCUUUUUUUUUAUUUUUGGCCUGCUCCAAUCCGUUAAAAAUCCGCUUGCCCUAACCCGCCCCCAAUAGAACAACGAUUGAGGGUCAAAAUUACUACAAAAAUUAAUUCGUUUCGGAUCCAUCCCGAUCCGACAAGAAACGGAGCAAGACCUGCACCCUGUUCGCAUCCCUAGGAACCAGUCCCGGAGGCGUUAGGGCCCGAGCAGCUGCAACACUCCUCACAGGUCGGGGCCACGCCAGGCCGACCGGUGGGGCAGUCGACCCGUAACGGCCCAUGACACCGGGGCAUGCCGGCAUGACACAAGUACUGUAGCACUCAUGCUGCACAAGGGCUGCCAGACUCAGACGUCGUUUGUUGCAACUUCCACGAGCCGGCCAGCAGAAUUUUACACCCUCUCAGGCUGAGGUAACUUCCCUUUGAAAUAUCCAAUCAUAGUGAGACACUUAAUAAUGUAUUGAAAUUACGAGGCAUGAUUUCCCAAUGGACAGUAAAAGAGUCACAAAGAGUGCCGAUAUUGAUACAGCAAAUUGUUAUCCUUAUAUUUGAUAAAUUUUAAUGUCACACUUUCAGCUCGCAAAUCGGCUCUAAUAUCACAUACAAUAAUCUGACUUGUUUGCACUAAGAACUCAUGAAGUUCAAAUUUCUGAUCCAAAACUUUUAAGUCUAAUUACUAUUUUAAAAGCUUUCGGUUUAUAAGUAUGCAUAUGCAUAAUUCUUUUUCCAUCCCAUAUAGGAUUACUAAUGUGACAACUCGGCCCACUAACGAUUAUUAAUAUUAGAGUAUUCCUAGUUCUUAUAUUCUUAUGUGUAAUUUUUUUGUUAGUGUUGUAGACUUUUUUUCAUCCAAUGUGAAAUUAUUUGGGCGUUACAGACUUUGAUGUCUUCGUCUGGGCUAAAUCUAAUCACGCACAUUGACCAGAAUCUUCAGAAAACGUAAAAUUCUAAAGAUACCUCUUGUAGGUAUUAGAGGUAAUUAACAUUUAGCUCAGAUAUCAAAAAAAAUGAAUAAACCCACUAACACUAAUAAUUCGUUGAAUCCAAACCACUGGUUAAAAAUAUUUAUGUCCAAUUAUUAAUAUUAGAAUUUUUUAUUUUUAUAUUUUCACACACAUUUUUUUUCAUCCCAGAUGGAACUAUUGUAGUGUUACAAUUAAAAAUGCACAUUUUCUCCGAUAUUUUUGGUGCGUAAAACCCAAGACAUAGGAAUCAUAUUUACAAUUUUCUACCUCUAAAUUUAUAUAAUUACAAGUCCCCUUAUAAUUUCUCGAGAUCAAUGAACAAAAAAAAUGGUGGCAUCACACACGAAGACGAGGAAUAAAUUCAAGGAAACAGUGGGAGAGCUCAUAAGUAGAUCCCACACGUGCCAAAGUUUUAAAAUUCCUUUUUUAUAAACGGAAAAAAUUGAAACAUUUGUAUUUAAUUUAAUCCAUUGCAUCAACGAAUCUUUGUAACUACAAUAAUAAGUGAUAGGCUUAUAAAUACUCUGUUUUUGCCAAAGAAACAGUUGUGAGAACGCUUGUUACUAUAGCAAUUAACAGGGUUAACAGUUUUUCAAUUUGAUCCCCAAUCUUUGUUUUUUUUCGUUUUUAGGUCUCUGACCUUUAUAUUUAAUUUCAGAUAGAUCCUAAUUAUUCAAAUUCACGCUAAUUUUAAUAAAAAAAAAAGGGCCACAUAGACUCCAAUAAUACUUUGCCUAUUCAUAUAAAUCAUAGUCAUGAUCUAAUAGCCUCUUUUCAAUUUAACUUUCACACCAAAAUUGAAUGUUCUAAAAAUCACAAUAAACUUCGCAUGCAAAGUCAAAGUCAAGGUUGUCGUAAACGCAUAAAAAAACAUUAAUGGUGACGAAAUUGGGCGUGGAAAGAUAGGCGUGCAUAUGAAAAAAGGACAGUAGGGAACCAAAGUAAAAGAUUUGAAAAAUGCUAGAGAUUAAUAAUAAUACAAUAAAUUCUUAAGAUUAAGGAUCUACUUGCAAAAAAUAAAAAAGUUUGGGUUUGAAGUUAAAAAAAUGAGGUAACGGUUUGGGACCGAAGUUGUAAUUAUCCGUAAUUAAUAUGUAGAAGUUAGGGAAAGAUCAAAACAAAAUAUCUCUAACAACUCUCUUAAGUACUCUUGUUAAAAGCUUCUUUUUUUUUUUUCCCUGUUGUAUGAAAGCGUGUCUAAAAUCUUUUUCAUUAUUGUUGAAAUUGAAUCCGCAUGUUAAUAAAAUGCAAAAAUACAGUAAUAAUAUUGAUAACAAUUUCGACGUUUUAUUCAACAACAAUAACGACACAAGUUAAAAACUAUAUUUGUCCAAUAUUUCCUCCGUUACAAUCUAAUUAAAAAGAUCUAAAGGCAAAUUAAUUCAAAAUAGAAACCGAAAUCAACGUAGAAAUAAAAAUGAAUCAGAAUAAAAAAUGGAAUGACAAAAUUUCUAAUUUAUCUGGUUUAUAAGAGAAAUCAAAAUCAAUAAUCAAAUUAUCAAUCCAUAAGGCAAAUUCCAAUUUAAAAACAAUUAAAUAUUUGAAUUUGUAAUCAUUAGAAAAAAAAAAUUUAUCUUUUUUUUGGCAUUAAAGUUGAUUCCGACAUCGAUAGUCGGAAUACAUGGAGAAAAUAAUUUGGAAGGAUUCGAUUUCCUCGAAAUGAAAACCGGCUGUCCCUAAAGUAAGUGGCAAAGGAUUUGACGGUUGGUACUCGAGACCCAUGUUCGAAUUCUAGUUGAUUCACAUUUCUAGCUAAGUUUAUUUCUAAAUAAAAUAAACGAAACGGAUAGCGUGCUAACUAUCUCUCUCAAAAAAAAAAAAAAAAAAAACCAUAUUAGUGCAGUUGUCCGACGGUUAAAAUAGUUGGUAUCCAAAGUUUCAAGUUCAAAACCUAAUUACAACACAUUUCUAGUUAGGUUUAUUCUCAUAAAAAAAAUAAACAAAGCGAGUAAAUCGCUACCUUUCUUUCUCUCUCUCUCUCUCAAAAAAAGAAAAAAAAAAAACAUUCAAGGUCAAGUUCGCCAUAUUUUAAUGAGCAUACGGUAUGCUGUUUACCAUGCAAACACGGCAAUCACAAGUUUCUUUAAUAUACGGGUAGAGAAAAUGAAUUUGGAACAGAAGGCAGCAGGAAUAAAUCAACUAGAAAAAUAAGAAAAUAUAUAUCUAUAUAGCUUCGUGUUAAGAGAAGUACAUCUCAUUUUUNCCCGACGGAUUUUAAAAAUCCAUAUCCAAACCCGAACCCGACCAAAAAUCCGAAACCCGAACCCGAACCCGAACCCGAAAAUUUAAACCCGAAACAAUUAUUUCUUUUUUCAAUAUUUCAAAAUAUAUUAUAUUAAACCUAAAUUUUUAAAAUACAAAUUCAAAUAUAACAUCAAAUUUUUAUAUAUAUAUUAUAUAUAAUACAAAAUAAAUUCGGGUUCGGGUCGGGUUCGGGUUCGGGUCGGGUACAAUCAAAAUCCAUAUCCGAAUCCAUAUCCGUCGGGUUUCUAUUUUUGAUAUCCAUAUCCGAAUCCAUAUCCAUAUCCAUCGGAUAUAUUCGUUUCAUUCGGGUUCGGGUUCGGAUAAAAUUUC